RNAcentral lists this long non-coding RNA (56045 nucleotides) under Sorghum bicolor (sorghum). RNAcentral's name for it is "long non-coding RNA (SBIC_LNC007838)". The record is from RNAcentral. Lineage: Eukaryota; Viridiplantae; Streptophyta; Magnoliopsida; Poales; Poaceae.
UUAAAUCACAUAGCUUUUUGAUGCAAUGCAACCGGGAGGAUUGCCCUGGCCUUCUCAAGCAGUCCGGGGGUGGUGCUCUUCUGUUCCCGGCGACCGGCGUGGUGGCACCGGUGAGCGCAACCGCUGAGGGUCCCGACGAAACCCGUAAAGUGAGGCGAAGCAUCGAAACCUUUCUGUUUCCCUUCUUUUUCCUCUCCGGUCAGGUGUAUGUCGGGCUACUCUUCUCCUCAUCCGCAAGCACCACAUGCGCCCGCCCCCUGCUCGACGGAAUGCCAACCCCAACGGGCGCAUACAAAUUGCUUCGGAGGGCGAGGAUGGCGUCGGCAUCAUCACUCCAGGUCCAGGACGCGCUGCUCCAGCACACACCGUCCAUCGUCCUGCCACCGGACGAGGUGGCUUUGACCUGGACGCGUGCUCUCCUGCCGCUGCUGCCGUGGCCUCUGGAACUGGAACUGAAGCCCUCGUCUCGUCGUCCGUAGUGCCUUUCAUCCUAUGGGUAACAAGGGCACGGAGGCAAGUUGUUUCCUCUGUUUUUGUUUCUUUUUUUCAUAUAUUCACCUAAUUAUUGUAGUCGUCAAUCUCAUUCUGCCAGCAUUACGAUUUUGGGUUUUUGGGCACAGUAGCACUUUCGUUUUUAUUUGACAAAUAUUAUCUAAUCAUGGACUAACUAAGUUUAAAAGAUUCAUCUCGCGAUUUUCAGGCAAACUGUGCAAUUAGUUUUUGUUUUCAUCUAUAUUUAAUACUCCACGCAUAUGCCCCAAGAUUCGAUGUGAUAGAGAAUUUUAAAUUUUUUUGGAAACUAAACAAGGCCUAAGAUGCAUACUUGUCUCAUGCGUCUGCACAGGGCCAAAAGGAUUUGGUCUGCCUUUUAACAUGUGGGAGUGGGGAGUGUGGGACCACAUUUUAGGUCCUUCUCAUGGCAACAGUUUGACUUUUCCUUGAAUGAAGUUUCGUCGUGCCUUCUCUAUCCUUGUCCAUUGUGUUGACUGCACCCUCCAAGUCUCCUUCAUCAAUUUGCAGAGACUGCACUGGAGCUACCAAAUAAAUCAGCAGUCUCUCUGCAAUCUAGCUAAGCUGCAGCACCUGCCUUCUGCAGCUUUGCAUCCUGAACCCCAGAAGCUGAGUUUGGGAAUAAUGGAGUAGGAGUAGCGGAAAAGCUGAUCCAAGCUGGGAUUCAAGGUACUUGCUCUUAACUCUGAUCCACCAGACUUUCUAAGUAAUAGAUGAAAGCAGAGCACUUCAUCCGUUCCUGCUUGCUUAUUCACUAACCACGCGCUGCUUUGUUCUGACUCAGUCACUCUUCUCAGUGAGGAACACAUACAGAUGAAGGUUUGAACUGUUAAUCAGCACAAGUUUCAUACUGCUGCUGAUUUAGCACUUUUAAGAAACCUUCAAUCCUCUAAUUUUAAGCUGUGAGAAACAUCUUUCUAAGGCUUAUUGCCUUCUGAAAAUAGCGAUCUCCUCGAUCACUUGGCAUAUUUUGUGUUAUUUACUGUUUGCGGUGCUAGUGAAAUUCUGAUUUCCUUCCAUUUAGUUACAUUCUUUUCUCAAACAAUUUAAUUAAUUUUGAAUGUGGCACUCUGAUUCCAAGGCAAACCCACUUUUCAGAAUUGAGAAGUUUUCCUGUGUGGUGCAUGGUAGGCCUACACCUUCACCACACUGUUCCUGAUGUUCUCACUGGAGGCCGACCUACAUAUGGAUGAUGUAGCCAUGUAGGUACUGUUAGCUGUCAACAUAUCUUGAUAGCUUCUUAAUGAAAUACUGGCAUGGAUCAUUAACUGCGAAACAUCAACGUGCAGGCAGUGAGAGUCAGAUAACCUGCUGUCCUGUUUUUCUGAGUUGCCAAAACUGCAACCAGAUAAUUUGUCACACAACAAUAUAAGGUGGUGCUAUUUCUCUAGGCAUGGAUUCAGGGACAUCCAGGAGUCAGUACGGGAGAAGCCAAAUGGGACAUGGGAGGAGUAUAACUGCGGUAGGGCUGCAUAAAAUGAAUAUGCAUUGUUCUUUUCAACUGAUAUGUUACAGAUUUCUUAUUUAUGAGUGGAAUUCUCAGUAGGAAUUGGCAUAAUCUGUAAACUUGGCAAGAGGCAAAUGGGACAUGGGAGGAGUAUAACUGUGGUGGGGGGUGGGGGUUAGUUUUUUUAAAGGUUUAGUAAUACUUAGUUCAUUUGCAAACCAAAAUACUUGCUCUUUACCUUUUAUUAGGUGCAGAAGCAUCUAAAAUUCAGACUGUACAUGUUCAUGAAUAAAACUAGUCUAACACAUGGAAUUUGUAGUGAAAAUAAUAUUCAGGUUUAUAUUUGAAAGUAUUUGAGCAUUUUUUUUUCUAUCGAAUAAGUAGGAGAGCUGUGUGUCAUUACAUUAUGAAGAAGAUUUCUUUUGAGCGAAUUUCACAAAACUACAUAUAUUUCUGCAAUAUAUCAAUAAACUACUUAUCAGAAACUCCCUUUGCGCAAUUUAUCAGAAUGUACACUUAUCCAUCAUCCGUUUUAAAGCUAAAUGCAUCAUAUUAUAUUCUUUUAUGUGGCAGGCAUUUGUUGUGGCUCCUUCAUUUUCCGUCUGUGUUUUGACUAGAUCAUCCAACAGUUGUUGGCUUGUUUGUUCCUCCCUUGCUAAUAUCCUGGAGAAAAUAUGCCAUUACAUUUGUUGUUAAGCAAGAAGAUGACAGGAAACACUGCACUUGGAGCUACCAAAAGCAGCAUGGUUUUCCAGAUAUAGCAAAAGUGUAUCCAGAAAACAGACCAUCUAGCUAAGUUGCACCUAUCUUCUGUAGCUCUGCAUCAUGAACACCAAGCUGCGAUUUCGGCAGCACAGUGGAGCACAGUUGCUUGCAUCCACAUCAAACCACAGAUAGUGAGCAAAUAUUAGUUCAUCGUGACUGCUAGCUCUGCAACCAUUGAAGCAUGGAUCUCGUGACCGGAGCAAUCAGCAACCUCAUUCUCAAGCUGGGGGAGCUGCUUAAAGAGGAAUACAGGCUACAGAAGGGCUUGAGGAAGCGAGUCGAGUCUCUCCAGAAAGAGCUUGAGAGCAUGAGCGCCGUCCUCUGCAAGGUGGCCCAGCUGACGCCGGACCAGCUUGAUGUUCAGGUCAGGGCAUGGGCCCAACAAGUCAGGAUGGUGUCAUAUAACAUGGAGGACAUCCUCGACGCCUUCCUGGUUCACGUGGAGGACCAGGAGCCUGCUACCUCGAACAGAUUCAAACGCCUCACGGAGAAGACGGCCAAGCUGUUCAACAAGAGCAAGGCACGCCGUAUGAUUUCUGAUGCCAUCAAAGAUAUCAUGAAGCAACUCCAGGAGGUGGCUGACCGGCGUGCCAGGUACAUGGAUGGUGAUAUUAUGGCUAAGUCUACAGUAACAAUUGUUGAUCCUCGCUUAUCAGCUCUUUAUAAUGACGUGACAAUGCUUGUUGGCAUUGACAAGGCAAGUGAUGACCUCAUAUCUAUGCUCUCAUCCCAGUGUGAUGAUGGGAAAUAUGUGAACAAGGUUAAGAAAGUCUCUGUUGUUGGACCUGGUGGAAUUGGCAAGACCACUCUGGUCAAAGCAGUGUAUGAGAAACUUAAAAUUGAUUUCGGUUGCGUAGCCUUUGUUCCUGUUGGACGGAAUCCUGAUAUUAAUAAAGUUUUGAAGGAUGUUCUCAUUGAUCUUGACAAGCAACAUUACAUGACACAUUUAAAUAUGAUGAUACUAGAUGAAAGGCAGCUAAUUGAUGAGCUUCACGGAUUUCUCAAGUGCAAAAGGUACACAUCGCCCACCCAACACUUGGCGAGCAUUAUUUUAUUUGAUUAGUUGUACAGUUACUUCUUUAUUUUAUUUUUAUGAUCCUCUAUGAUCAUACAUCUUAUGUUUAAGUCAACUAUACUCAAGUGAUGCCUUUACAAUGUUUUGUGGAAUUAAAUCAGCAUGUGGAUAGGCCCUCUGUAUAGAUUAUACAUGAAGUAAACACUAGCUAGUGCUCAUAUAUUCACCAUAUAAGUCCAUAUAUCCAUGCUCGGACAGUCAAAUAACUACCUGUGUAUAUAUCAGAAGUAAUACUUGGCUAAUUAAGAGAACCAUAAAAGAAUGGAUUGGUUAACUCAAGUAAAUACACUUUGUAAUAGAUUGAUCCGUAAUUUUAAAUACAAUUAUAGGCCAUCUCUGUGGUGCUGCGUAUAAUGCAUCUGUGGUAGAUCUCUAAUCUGUGGUGAUAUUCCUGUGCUGAUGAGGUUUACCAUUAUUUUUCAAAAAGGAAAAGAAAAGUAUGGAUUCACGGAUCACAUGAGAGUGUUAGUUUAUAUAUACAAGUAGUUGACUGUAAACAUAAAAACAUCAGUUCAAAAGAAAUAUUUUUGUUAAUGUUAGCUAUACAAUGGAAUCUAUUACAUUCUGAGCAUUUAUUAGCCUAUAGUACAAUUAAGAUUUAAUAUACUAUAAAGCAACUUAAUUUUCAACUAAAGCAAGACAUGAGCAAUAUUUAUUUUCCCCAAUGGCUUUUAUGGAGUAUGAACUAGUCACUUUGCUGCUUGGUUAGGAAAAGUCCAUCUGAAAAUGUACAACAUGCCUAGAUUUAUGAUUGUUAAUAACAGAACUGUAUGAAUUAAUUGUCCAAUAGUUUUACUGACUCAGGGAUCUUUGCGCUCUCAUGCAUAGGUACUUCAUUGUUAUUGAUGACAUAUGGGAGACACGAUCUUGGGAAACAAUCAAACUGGCUCUUAUUGAGAACAAUUGUGGAAGUAGAGUAGUGGCAACUACUCGUAACUCCAGAGUUGCCAAAGUCGAUGAAGUCUACAAUAUAAAACCACUUUCGUAUGUUGAAUCUAGAAAGUUACUCUACACAAGAAUAUUUGGUGCUGAUGCUGAUUAUCUUGAUAAAUUACCAGACAAGUUAGUAUCUGAUAAGAUAUUAAAAAGAUGUGGUGGUGUACCAUUAGCUAUCAUCACAAUGGCUAAUUUGUUGGUGGGUAAACGAUUGGAGGAAUGGCCUCAAGUGCACAACUCUAUUGGGUUUAGCCAUAAAGAUAACCAUCACACUGAGAGUACAAUGAGAAUAUUGUCUUUUAGUUACUAUGAUUUGCCUUCUCAUCUAAAGACCUGCUUAUUAUAUCUAAGUAUGUUUCCAGAUGAUUCCCCUAUCAGUAAAGAUCCUUUGAUAUGGAAAUGGAUAGCAGAAGGUUUUGUUCAUAAGGAGAGAGGGUGUGGGUUAUUUGAGGUUGGAGAGCGACACUUUGAUGAGCUCAAAAAUAGAAGCAUAAUCCAGGCAGUGGAGUUUGAAGAAGAAGAAGGCAUCAUACAAGGUUGUCGAGUUCAUGAUAUGGUACUUGAUCUCAUCCGUUCGUUGUCAAGUGACGAGAAGUUUCUCUCAGUAUUAGAUGGAUUAGAUAGUGAAGACACAUUAACAGAAAGCAGUCCACGCAGGCUAGCCCACCAAAAGAGAACUGUGGAUCAUAACCCUCAAGCUAGAAAUACGGGCAUGCCACAUCUGAGGUCAUUUGUUGCAUGGUAUUGUGCUAUUGACAAGAUGGUCCCACUUUUGAGCUUCCGAGUAUUACGUGUGCUAGCUAUUGAGUAUUGCGAGUUUAAGGAAGGUUACCAACUUCAGCAUCUCGGGAAUUUACUUCACUUAAGGUAUCUUGGACUAAUAGAGACAAACAUCCGUGUGCUACCAAAAGAAAUAGGGCAUUUAAGGUUUUUGCAGACACUCUUGUUGAACGGAACGGGGAUAGAAGAACUGCCAUCGAGCCUCCGGUUGCUGCCACAAUUAAUGUGCCUACGUGCUGACUGGAAGACGAGAGUACCAAAUUGGAUAGGGAUGCUUACAUCCCUGGAGGACCUACGGAUAUACCGUGGUGCUGACGACAGGUCUGCGAGGCGAUUUGUGAAGGAACUGGGCAACUUAACAGGACUGCGAGUCCUCCGGGCUGGCAUUGCUGUGUUGGAUGAGAACAUGGAGAGAGAUUUGGUGAAGUCUCUAUGCAAUCUGAAGGAGAUCCAGUAUAUACAUGUAGAAAUUAUAUAUCCAGCUAUUGAUGAUACCAUGGAUGCUUCGCCCUGGAUGAGUAAAGUGAGCUGGGAGGCAGAAGGCUUUGUGUCCCCUCCAAAGCUCCGACGUCUGCUACUAGGAUGCAUUAUGUUUCCUACACUGCCAUCAUGGAUUAUCAAUCCCUCCUGUCUUCUGUCCCACUUGUGUGUUCAUGUAGUUACCAUCGAAGAGCAGGAUCUCAAAGUCAUUGGUAAGAUGCCAGGGCUCCAUGAUCUCCUUCUUCCAACAAGCUCCACGGUGACAAUCAGUAACAUUGCCGAAGGUGGGUAUUUCAAGAAGCUGAGGUCCUGUUCGAUGCUUUCUUCAAUGGUCCAGUUCCUGCGAAAUGAGGACUCCAGCGUUUCAUUUCAUAUGUGGAAUGGGGAGGAUGCUGUGCCCUUUGGUACUAGAAAGGAUGGCGAAGGCAGUGUAGCACCUAUCGUGAUGCCAUGCCUUGAAUUUCUCGAAUUCUUUUUCUUCGUCCAGACCAUGAAGGAUUGCAACGGUUACUGUGGCAGUAUUGGUUUGGAAUACCUCACCGCACUUAAGAAAGUCACCGUCAGAAUUGGCUGUCAGGGUGCCUCUGUGGUGGAGGUGGAGGAAGCAGAGGCUGCACUGAGACACGCUGUACGGAUCCAUCCCAACCAUCCCACCCUCGAGCUAAUCAGACAUUUUGAGGACAAGAUGAUCCUAGCAUCCGAUCAACAAGAAGUGGAGGCCACCCGGUGCUAGCAAGAGCUGGAUUUUUUUUUUGUUGCUGUUUUAGUUCCUAAAAAAAAACUCUGUUUGUGAGUAUCAUUAACCUCUGCUUCUGGAAACCAUUCAACUCUGUUUUUAUACCACAUGCUGUGACAACAGAGUUUGGUGGUCCGUAUCAGGGUGCUACAAAUCAUGGAUAUCUGUCAUACUAAUUCUGUUUUUUUUACCAUUUUAAAGUGUUUUGAUUUGAGUUCCGUUAUUUCCAUUUGGACAGAUUACAGAUGAUGAAUUUAGAUUAUUAUUCUUUCAUUAAGAACUAGCUACAGAUGCUUAUGGCCGAAGAAGCCGAGUAUGUUGCAAUCGUCAAUUUCUGGAAAAAUUUGAGGGUUGUUUAGCUUUCUGAAAAGAAAUUUUUGGGUCAUGGAAUUUAUACCAGAUCCUCUGUUCAACAUCCAUCCAUUCGGAGAUGUUGGGCCAGCAAACAUAGUUAUUUAGUGUUGCUCAAAAGAAAAUAUAUAGUUAGUAAUAAAAAGCCAGAUUCCUGGGCUCCACCAGGCAGUCUCACCUGCAAAGCAUCAUCAGCCGUUGUGCUGAUAUGUUCUUCCCGCUCCAUUCCAUUUCAAGAACUGAUCAGGUCUAGAAAGUCGCCUUAUUUUGUCCUAUACUGUUAGGGUAGGUAUCAUGCAAAGCAAGCGCUAUAUAAUAUAUACAUUGGGCCAUAGGAUCCAAAAGGACCUGAAAAACAAAGAUAUUUGUAGAUCUCAUGGAUCUCUUCUCGUUGAUCAUUUGGAGGACACAAGUUUCAAAGAAAGAGAAUGGCUCGUCAAGAUUGUACAUCAUCAUCGUCAAGAUUGAACAACACUAAAAAAAAUGGUGCGCUGAUGCGUCAUCAUCGUCCACCACUUCUGUUUUCUAUUCACAACAACUGACAAAGAAUGUACAUUAGCCCUGAAGUUUGUCUCAGUAACCAGAAUAUGUCAUACGAUAUGUACAAAUAGAAGAUAGUACAUGAGAGAAUGUGACCGAGUCAAGAAAAUACAUGAGAAUUUGCAAGUAUUCAUUGGUGUCACUAGCUCCAGUAUCCUGUCCAUAUUGAUGUUCUCUAUGAAGUGUGAACCAGUCAAACUAUUGUAUGCUACUACACAUUACAUGUCCUUUUGUUUAUACCAUGAAGAUCACAUGCCAAAUUGAAAGAAAAGGACGAAAUUGCCGAUAUUUGUGUACAAAAAUCAGGCACUGAAUAGCAUCAAUUUAGGUAUGAAGAUUUGUUGCUUGCUUGAACUUCUUUGUGCUGUGUGACAGUGCUGAUGGUUUCCAUGAACAUUUCACCGGAGAAGCAUUUUCCCUUUUCAUGGUGGCCUUUGUCGUCAUCAUUCUAGUCUUGGUUCACUCCGUUUUUGCCCUUGUUUGCCCUGAAGAAAGCAUAGCACCCAGUCCGCUUUCUGCGCCAAAACAAAUAAAGAAGAGCUGAUUAGAUCAGUGAUUAUUAGACUAGCAAGAUCCUGUCAUGAACUGAUUUAGAUAUCCUCUAGUGUUUCUAAGUGGUAAUGUAAUGAUCGUAUUAGCAAUAGCAGAAUGAGACAUAAAGCAUUGCUGCUUGGGCUUCAGGUGGCAAGAAGUCAGCCUUAUGCUUUGCGUGACAGAAAGUGAGGCCAAAGUAGGCCAUAUGAACAGAUAGGUCCCAAAAGAGAUGAAUUGAUCCAACGGACACUUACUCAAAUGAUGCUACAAAGAUGCUAAUUUCAUAUUAAACAACUUAACUACCGUUGCAGGUGAUUAUCUGAUCAUCUUAUUUCAGGAAUAGGAUCAUCUGACUUGAAGAAGUAAUGUCACAUGAGCAAAGUAAUCGCGGUUUUUUUUUAUGAUAUUAAGCUAUAAUCAUCAGUAGCAGAAGGAUGGCUCAGAUCUGUCAGCUACAGCACUACCCUUAGCUACCGUGUUUGAGUGUGUUCACCAACCCAUAUCCCAUAUUUCAAGGGAUAACAACUAGCACUAAUCACAUUUGCCCUUAGUAACCCUUGGGUUGGAAUUAAAAUCUAGUUAGGCUGCAAUCGUUUGGCAUGGAAUGGUGAGCAAAAACCAUUCCUGACAUGAAUGCUAGUGUGGUUUAUAUAGACAAUCCUCACCAAGAACUAUUCCUUGUCAGGAAUAGACUGAAACGAACAAGCCCUUAAUGAGCUCAUAAAAAAUUAUCUGGCAAUGCCACGACUUCAAGAAAAUUAACGCCCAGUUAUGAAAUCUUCUAGUAAAACCAUCAAGAAUUUCUGGGACUAGAGGUAGGAGAAGACGACCACAGAAAGCUCCAUGCGAAGUCAGUCCUGCUACGUGCUCCCUUUUGGAGUUCAUAUACCAAGAGAGAAGAAACCUAAAGCAGCAGGAAGGAAUUGACAGCAAAGCUGGAUUGUGAUGCAACAAGAAGUGACUUCAAGCGACGACUCUGCCUGCCGUGUUGACCGGUUUUAUCUCCGUUCCAUGCUUGCUGACUUCACAAUAGGAAAUAAUCGUGGCAUGCUUAGCAGCCUAAACCGGCCGUCAGGCCGUGCAGUGUUUUUCACAUCAGACGUAUUCAGUGACAAAUUAGAUGGCUGUGCUUCCUUUGAUCCAGUCUAAUCCUACCAUCUCCAUCCUUGGAACCGUAUAGGUGGUUCAGUGUGUACCUCUGACUUCAGUAGCUGCCAUUUUUUUUUCCAAAAGUGUGUUCUUUGUUUUUUUGUUUUGUUUUGGACGUUCUAGAAGACUACUAGAAGUCCAGAACAGCUGCUUGUCUCCUCCAUCAGUUGAAAAAAGUUUGUUUGCUCCAAUUUUUUUAUUAGAUUAGAAAAUAAAUUUCUUCUAGAACAGAUUUUUGUCUUCUCUUGCAUCCGUUGAAAAAGGUUCCUUUUAUCUUUAUCUGUCUAUCUUUAAUGCCAAAGCCAAAAUUUCCUCCGUUUUCUGUUUCUCAAGGAAAACUGAACAAUACGGAGGUUGAAACAUGCUGGUUCCUUCCUGAACUUAUUUCAGCUUAUUUCUUUCUACUACUCUUUAAAACCGCUCUAAGAGAUAAUCGGAACUAGCAGCCAAGAAGAUGCAGCAACCUGAAUUUCACUGAAAUUGCCCAACCCAAGAAUCUAAGAACCACCGAAACAAAUUUGUGUAAUUUUCAUUUCAAUAAUGAAUUGAUGAAUCUGUAAAGAAAUUACCAAAAAAAAUCUGCCAGACCACCUGAUGUAGUACUGUUAAACUAAAACUUGAUGAUGAACUAAUUUAAAAGUUGAAGGGAAAGGAGUUCGUUACCUGCUCCAACUCCUAACCGGCGCUCUGGGAUUGGCACCGCCAUUGACGACAUUCCUGACGCUGGCGGCGCUGCUGCUGUUGCUAUUGCUGCUGCCGGUGCUGCUGGUCCGGCUGCUGCUCCCGGCCUCGCUGAACUCGCUCUUGGUCCACCACUCCUCCUCCUGCGCCGCGGCCGCCGGCACCAGCACCGGCACCGGCACCGCCUCCUUCUUCCCCUGCUUCUUCUUCUUCUUCUUCUUGCCGUCGUCGGGCUUGGGCGAGACCUUCUUCUUCUUGCCGCCGCCCAUGGAGAGCGGGAGGAAGAGCUUGAUGAGCAAGCCGGUGUCGAGGCUGACGCUGCGUUCCAGGUUCCGGCUCCGCUGCUUCCGCAUCAUCGUCCUCUGCUUCCUCCCCUGCUUCUUCUUGCCGCCGCCGUCCUCGGCGUCCGUCGCCGCCGCGACGACGGCGGGCUCGUCCUUCUUCUCCUGCGCACCCGCGGGGACGGGGACGGCGACAGCAGCGCGGGUUGUGUGGUGGUGCCUCCCGGCGGUGGUAGGCGGCGGUGGAGGAGAGGGAGACGGAGGAGCGCGAGGCGGGGACGGGGGCGACGGGUGGUGCUCGACGAUGUCGCGGAGCGAGAGCUCGUAUGCGGACUCGGGGAGGCCCCGGACGAGGUCGAGCAUCUCGCGGCGGUACCCCGCGAUGGCCUGCGCCCGCGACGGCGAGCUCCCCGCCGACGCCGGGUACUGCCGGUGGUGGUGGUGGUGCGACUGCGACUGCGCCUGCGUCCACAGCUGCGGCGACGGCGUGCCCGACCCGGACCCAGACCCGCCAGAGCUGCAGUAGUUCGUCUCCGGCGAGGCCUGCAGCGACGCCUGCAGCCACCGCACCUCCUCCUCCUCCUCGUCCCCGUACCGCGGCGCCGGUAUCGGGUUGCUCGCCGGCGGCCGCGGCGGUAGUCCCCCGCGCGCCGGCGACGCCGAGCCUGCCUGGAAGCUGAACUCCGGCCGCCGAUGAUGCAUGGCCUGGCCAGCCAAGAACGAAGCCGAUCGGUCGGUCGGUUCCCGUCAGACUACAGAGAGAGAGAGAUGUGUGUGUUUCCGUGCCGCGCGUGGGGGGGAGGGGAAGGUGGAGGCGGGGAAGAUGAGACGGUUGGGUAAUAACAACGGCGGCGUCGAGUUGAGUCGAGUCGAGCGGCAGCGGAAGCAGAGGAGGGUGGUGGUGAGGUGAGCGGAAAGCGAUGGCGGGCGACGUGCGGGGUGGGUGCGCGGAGUCGUCGCGGGGAUUUAAAUUCGCGCUAAUUUUCGGCGGCUUUAAAUUCGCGUACCGGGAGGGAUUCAGGGAUGGGAAGAACACGGCACGACGUGGCGGCUUUUUAUUAUCAUUUCCGGUGCAGUUAGGGUCUGUUUAGUGUAGUGAGCUACUAUUUUUUCUGUCAAAUAUUUUUUUAAAACAUAUUUAUAGGUGAAGCUAUUUUUCUUCUUAUCUCACGAAGAUAUUAGUUAGGAUGGAACUUAAAAAAAAAAGUAGCUUAUUCUAACUCUCUCUCAUUUAUUUUUUUUCAUCCAUGCAUAAAGCUGUUGAUGAAGCUAUUUCGUUAAAUAAUUUUUUUGAAACAGCUUAACUUUACUUAGAAAAUUACUCAUAAAGUUCUUUUCUAACUGAGUUGUAUCAAACAAAGGCUAAUUAAAUGAAGACAUGGCACGGUUCACACUUUACGCCGUGGGACUCUGUCUGUCUCCUUGUCAAACAGAGUCACGUGUUGGUGCGAGAGAUACAACUAGUGAUGAUCCAGGUGACACGUGUUGGACACAGAAUAUAAUCGGAAUGCCAAGAAUUCAGAAACACAUCUUGUUUUUACUUCUACACGUUUUUGGUGACAAGAAGACGCAAGUGACUGAGAUAUGAUCUUGGUGUGUGACACGUGUUAAUAUGUUAUACACCGGAUUUAUUUAUCAAGUGUUUGAAGAGCUAGGGGUAGCUACCAUUCACGGUCGUCGAUUGUCAUUGUAGCCCGGGCGAUCGCAUGCAUAUACGUAUGCAUGUUGGGUUUGGUUGCCUGAGAUGGGCAGGAUCGUUGCUGGCAGAUCACAAGCUGUAUGUCAGGUCACAAACCGAAAAAAAUAUCACUCUCUUAGAGCAAUUCCAAGAGCUUUGCUAAAAUUAGUAGUCAAAGUUCAUUGUUUAGCCAUUUUGUAAAAUAGAAAACUUCUUAAAAAAGAAGAAGUCCGAAACAACUUUGCUAUUUUACAAAAUCGGAUAGCUUGUCAGUGGUUGGCGAAAAUCAAGGAAUAGCCAACUUUCUAUUUUACAAAAUCAGAUAACACAUCUGUUGGAGUCUACUUUUUGCUAUACAAAUUCUAAAAUAGCCUCCACAACGAGAAUAGCCAAACUCUCGGAAUUGCUCUUAUGAAUGCUCGCAUACAUGCAUACUCUAUUAUCAGAGUUUUCGCCAAAAUAAAGCGCCCCUAGAUUUUGACAUCGGCGAAGUCAGUAUAACCGUCACAUUGUUAACGUACAUGUACAUCAUCUGUCGCUAAAUGAAAGGCCUAAUUACCGAGUGCUAAAUUAUUUGUAGAGUGCAAUAUUUCGAGCAGUCGACAAACAAGCUCUUUGUUGAGUGUUAAAAAAAAAUUUGUCGACUUUUUUUUUACGCUCGGCAAAGAACUUGUUUACCGAGUGUUUUUUUUGCACUCGGCAAACAACUACUUUGCCAAGUAUUUCUUUGUGGCACUCGACAAAUAGUUUGUUUGCCGAGUGUUUUUUUUUUGCACUCAACAAAUAGCUGCUUUGCCGAGUGUUUUUUUUUUUGCACUCGGCAAAGAGUUGCUUCAAAGCAUAUUUUGAUGCAAUAAAUUAACUCAAAUGAAAAGGUUUUCUACUAUAAAGUUAUAUAACUUUUCAAGAUCUACAACUUUUAUUUUAGUUAUUUUUUCAUUCGAUAAAGUGAUAGUAGCGUUGUUCACAAUACAUCUCUCUCCUAAGUUUCAUGAAACUUCAAUAGAGAUAUAUAAGAUUUGUGAACAAUGUUAGAACUACCAUGUCGCAUGAACAAAUGACCAAAUAACUAAAAUAAACUUUGUAGAUCUUGAAAAGUUAUAGAAUUUUGUAGUUGACAAUUAUUUCAUUUGAGUUCAUCUUGUCAUGCAAAACUACGUUUGAAUUUCAAAAUUUUAAAACUUGAAUUUUUCAAACGACCUCGAAUGGAAAAACAACAUAAAUAAAAAAUGUAGAUCUCAAAAAAUUAUGAAACUUGUAGUUAAAAACUUUUUCAUUUGAGUUCAUCUUGUCAUGCAAAACUACAUUUGAAUUUCUCUUCGUUAUUCUUUUGGUUUUUUUGGUUUUUUAUUUUGCAUAGUGUUUUUUACCGAGUAUUUGUUUAGCACUAAACAAAGUGCUCUUUACCGUUAAAAUUUUGGCAACUGCUCUUUGUUUUUAGGUUCUUUUUGGUUUUUUAUUUUGCAGAGUGUUUUUUAUUGAGUGUUUGUUUAAUACUCAGCAAAGAGCUCUUUAGCGUCAAAAUUUUGACAAGUACUCUUUGCCGAGUGUCGAGUGUAUUUGAGGUUUUGCCAAGUACUGAAUCCGGUAGUGUAAAUUCCUAAAACAGAAACUAAAAAACUGCAAGCACCAUGCAAGGUCAAAGAAAGCUUGUACACUGAUAAGUGCAUCCAAAAAUGUUGAAAGCUCUUCUACUUAUAUAUCUUAUGUAAUUCAACAAAACUUUUAUCACAUAACUGUGUAUAUACACUAUGUUAUAAAUAUUUUGACCAUUCUUAAUUAAGGCGUAGAACCGUGCCUUUUAGUACAAAAUGAAAGUUCCAGCAGUUUAUGCAGAAACUACAGUAAAAAGUUCUAUACAACCUGCAACAUACUAGCGGUCGAUUAUUGUAACAUCCCAAAAAUUCGCAUUCAAAAAUCACUCGCAUUAAAAAUUAUUUUCAAAAUAUAUUUUAGAAACUAUAAAAUAAUUUGAGCUCUAUAGUAUCUCCAUCUAAUCCAUCCAUAUUUAUUUUUCGCGCACAAAUAAUAGCAAGUACCAGCAAGCUUACAUGCGAGAAAACAUAGCAGUGCACCUACACGAAUAUAUAUCUCAUGCAUGCAUGCAGGACAUGCCACCGACCAUUUGCAUGCACCUGCAUGCAAGGACACGGUGAUUAGGCACCGUCCAUUUGCAUGCAACGUGCAUGCAAAUGGGACAUCGUCCUUUGCAUGAAAAUUAGGCACCGUCCACCGUCCUGUCGUCCUGUGUAGCCAUGCACUACAGUAGCAAUUCUAAUGGCCACGAGCUGAGCACUCUGGCCUAUAAAAAGGCACUCUCGGGUGCUCACUCUCACCACCCGAGAAACACGUUCACUCACUCACUCACUCACUCACUCACUCACUCACUCACUCACUCACUCGCUCUCACUUCGCGUAUACCGUAUACGGCCAUACGCACAAGCCGAGCUCGACUGUCGUCGCAAGACGAGGUGAGCAGCUCAUGAGCAUCUCCUUGCUCUUCUCUGUCUUUCUGUAGUAUUUUUCUGUAUUUUUCCAUGUAUUUGUCUGUACCGGUUCACUGCCAAGAACUCCACGAAUAGAACCAUGACAUACAGAAGAGUUCUAAUGACCCCUGCUAAUUUCUCUCUAACCAUGCAUGUGUGGGCCAAGCAUUAACUCCAAAUAGUACAUGCAUGCAACAUGCACUACCAGCCAAACAAAUGCCCACGUGAAGCAUACAUUCCUUAAUCAUCGUUAGCCUUUUUCGCAUGAUUAAAUUCCGACCAUUUCACAAAUGCCACAUGCUAACUCUGAUUUUAAUAAUUCUUUUUCCUAAAUUCAUUUAAAAUCAUGAUCUACCUCCCAUAUUAAUUUCAUGAUUUUUGGAGCUCAUUUGAAUUUAUAUGAUUAUUUAUCUGUGCCUGUUGUCUUUGUCGUUCGUCACGUAUUUUAGCUGACGGAGUGAACGAGCCGGAAAACGAGAACGUUGGAGACGAGUACCGCGAGUUUGACGCCGAGGACUCGGACUGUCAGCAAGAGUUUGCUGAGGACGCCGACGGAGGCAAGUCCAACCGAUCCCCUUUGAUGCAUAUUGAUCCUAUUUUUAAACACAACCCGUAGAAGCCGUUUUAAAUAUUGCAUGUACGAUAUAUGUACGAAGUAUUUUUGCUGCUUAGUUAAAACCUGUUGAAUAGCCAUCCUUGAAUUGAUAUUACCCGGUAAUUGUCUUGUUCGAACCUAGGAACAAAUAAUAUGCUACGACAGAAAUAUUAUUAUUUAGUAUGCUUAGGACUUGUUACUCAUCCUGGAUACUCAUCGCUAUAUUUUCCCAAAUAUAAUGAUUUUAAAAGUAAAAGGUGUGAGUGGUGAAAAUAAAUUGUGGGUAUUGUGAAAGGGUUAAUGAACAAGUUACAGAUGUGAUUACUAUGGAGAUGGGGCGGAUGGGAUCUCUUUUGGGGAUGCCCUGGUGUUGUGGCUUAUACCUUGCGGGGUUAAGCGUGAAGAUAUCCGCCUUGUCUCGAUUAAGGACUGAGUUGAUGAUUCAUCUUGCCUAACUCAUUUAUCGUACAACCACUCGCCUUGCAUGGGAAAGGCUUAGUCUAAAUCCCUCUAGUUAGUAUGGCAAUCACCUGGAGGCAGGUGUGCAACGGGACACUAAGUGAUGUAUGUGAAAUUGUGGAAUUGUAUGAAAAGAGCUUUGUGAAUUAUUGUGGUAUCAUGAGAUGUGGCCUUAGUGUUCCCGUGGUGAGCGCCAUUACUUAGCUAUGGAGGGUAAUGACUUUGAUGGAUCUGUGCUUGCACGACGGUGUAAGUUAUGGUAUCCUACUUGUGGGAAAAGUGUACAACGUCUGCAGAGUGUAAAUCUAUCUGGAUAGCCGUGUCCGCGGUCUCGGACGGGUUAUGGUUCGGUUUCAACAACUAGAUGGAUUGGGAUGAGUGAAAACAUGAGAGUGAGUGUGAUUUUAGAAAUAAAUGGUUGACUGCCAUUGUGUUGUGGGAACAAGGGUUCAACAACACUUAAAAUUGUGAUCAAACCCCCAUUUUUUUAGAAAUACUAUCAUAUGUGGAAAAAGAGGUCUUUUACAACAGUAUUUGUGAAAUGAAACCUUGCAUGUGUAAAAAGAUAACUUUAUGCAAAUAGAACUAAGCCUCAUCCUUGAUUUAUCCAUAUGCAUAUAUACUGUUAUCCCCUUCCGUAGGGUAAGGUUGGAUUUGCUGAGUACUUUGUACUCACCCUUGCUUUAUUAAACAGAGGAAGAUCCGGACUUCGAUCCCGAAGUGGCGUUCGAGUAAGGUCGUGUCUGCACCCAACUAAGCCUGUGGCAUUGGGACUCGUCAGAUGUUCGAUGGCGAUAUCGUUUGUUUCUAGGUCCUUUGGACCUAUGUUGUAUUUUGGUGUCUUAUUAUUAUAGCAUGCCUUCAUUGUCCACGCUUAUCGAGACUACUGCGCUGAAACUUAUCUGAUGUAAUAAAUGUGUUACUAGCCUCCUGGGACUAGUAUUGUAUCACAUUUGAGUUCCUGGUUUACCAGGGGCGCUUCAGGUGGUAUCAAAGUCGUAGUUGGCUGUAGGACGCGACCUUAGGCUUUUCUGGACCAGUAUUUUACUAAAUAAAUAUAUUUUACAAAAGUUCUUACCCUCUUCCCUCUAUUUGAAAAAAAUAUUUACUCUCAUCUAUUUCUCUCAGAUGGCAGAAGGUGUUUGGACCAGCAGUUACUGUCUAAGUGUAGAAGGCUUUCCCAAGCUCUUGUAUGCUACCAUGCAGAAACUUGGAAUCAAGGAUCGUCCAGAAUAUGAAGGCAGAGAAUAUGAAGAGCAUGAGACCGAGCGGUGUGAAGUUACCGUCUAUAUUGGGAAAAGUGAGGACUUCCCUAACAUAGCUGAAGCUUGGAGUAUGACUGCGACCGGAUUUCGGUUUGCAGAUACAUAUCAAGCCGUCGCCCGCAAAGCCUUGAGGUACCUAUGCCAGAUCUACGAGAAGCCCAUCACCCGUACACCCAUGAGGUUCUUUCCACCCGACGAAAAAGAUCGACCAGUUUGGAGGACCCGCAUGGAGCUCUUGCAAGGACGUUACUCACUUGAAGAUGACCCAACUGUGGUAUUCAUGACCACAUACCUACUUGCUCUAGAUAAGCAAUACGAUGAGCAGGCCUCAGAGUUAAGGAAGUGCAUCCAUCGUGCGGAGGAAGCCGAGAUCAUAGUUAGAAAGCUCCAUGUGCAGCUUGCGGAAGCUCAGGCCCAAGCAGCUGCAGCCGAGAGUCGUGAAACUGCCAUUGCUGAAGUCUUGAAGGCAGCUGAAGACCGCCAUGCUCAGGAGUUGAAGGAUGCCUACCUUAUCACUAGGAUCAAAAGAAGGAUGUUAGCAGAGGAAGACCAAGAGCCCAUAGUCCUAAAAGGUAUCCCAAUCAUGUCCCUAAAAACAAAAAGCAAGAUGGACAUAGAAGGGCCAUCAGCUCCCCCACCCACAGAAGCCUCUCAUGAAGCUUUAGAGUUGGAGCCCAGUAAGGAAGAAGGAUUUCCCCUCCUCACCCAGCCACCACCAAAGGAAGACGGUGACCCACCUCUUAGUCCAAAAGAAGAACCACAAAUGCCGGAAGCAUGAUCCUCCUCAACACCAAGGGAAUGAAGCCGUUCUGUCCGAAGAAGUUGAAGAAUAGUAGCACCUAGUUCCUCCUUAUGUCUUGGGGAAGUGAAGUUUACUUCACUUUUGUUCAACCCCCCCAAAGUAGAUGAACCGUAUUGUAGUACGCUUAUUUCCUCCAUUACUAUGUUGUAAACCACCCUCUUAUUCAAAAUAUAUAUUUGUGCUUGUUGGUUGUGCUAAAUAAUUGAGUGCUCUAUGUUGUUCCCCUACGGGAUAGCAAGUGUUAAAACUUGCACCUUUUUAAAAUAUAACGCCGUAACAAAAAAAACAACAUCACUCAAUAGAUCUAACCCUUAUCUAAUGCUUUCUCAUCUUAACCAACAGAUGCCUCCCAAACCAGCUACCCGCUCUCAACCAAGUGGUCGUGCAGCUAGUAGGCAAAGCCAAAAUCCAAAUGGAAGUCAAGCCAAUGCAAAUGUUGACGGUAUUCAUGAAGAUGAAGUGAGUCAGACUAGGAACCAUAAUGAAGGAGAUGACUUGCCCCCUCCUCCAGUAAUUGACUUAGUACAAGUCAUGGCAACUCAGACUCGCCUUCUGGAGACCUUGGCUCAAGGCAUGAACCGCCCUAGGAACAACCGUGGAGCCGGAGUCCAAGACAAGAUGACUGAGUUCAUGAGGCUUAAGCCACCCACCUUUACUGGAUCUGACAACCCCAUGGAAGCAGAUGAUUGGCUUAAGGUGAUUGAAAGGAAGUUGGACACAAUCCACUGCGAUGGAAGGGAUAGAGUUCUGCUAGCAUCUCAUCAGCUGACAGGAAUUGCCCUUUCUUGGUGGGAAGCCUAUAGUGGAGCUGUGGACAAUGCCAACACGAUCACAUGGGAAGAAUUUGUGGAUGAAUUCCGCCGGUACCACAUUCCAGAUGGAAUCAUGAAGCUGAAGGCUAAUGAAUUUCGCAACUUGAAGCAAGGAAAUAAAACCCUGAGUGAAUACAUCUUCCAAUUCACUGAGUUGUCUCGCUAUGCCCCAGAAUUGGUCAACACUGAUGCUAAGAAGCAGACAAAGUUCAUAGAAGGAUUGACCUGUGAGCUUAGAACCCUCAUGACCCCACAGAUCUAUCCAGACUUCAACACUUUGAUGAACAGGACCAUUCUGACUGAUGUGGCCAAGACUGAAGAAAAGAAAGAAAACAAGCGCAAGUUUCUGGAGCGCAAGGUUCAAGAUGGUGCUAGAUCCCAGAGGCUGAAAACCUUCAGCCAACCAAGCCAGCGGACUCAAGCCCCAAUGCAGUUUCGCUCUCCUGCUAGUGUCUCCAAUAACCAAAUGCAGUCAUCAUAUCAACCCAAGACAACCUAUCAGAAUCAAACUUAUGGCAAGACUCAACAGAACAGCAUUGGUCAAGUCACAAACAAUGUUAGGACUUGCUUUAAUUGCCAUGAGACUGGACACUACAUCGCCAACUGUCCCUACAAGAACAACCCACCAGCAGUAUCCACUCAGUCCCACACUGUUAAUGGACCAAGACCUGCAGUGUCUGGAGUCAACCGUGGUUUCCCUCGCAACAAUAGCAACACCAACAAUAAUAGCCAGAUGAUGAAGCAACCUCAACAAUCCUAUGGUAGAGCCCGUGUCAACCAUAUUCAUGCUCAGGAUGCUCAGACUGCUUCAGGAGUGGUACUUGGUGAGUUCUUAGUCGAUUCAGUACUUGCAACAGUAUUAUUUGAUUCUGGAGCAUCACAUUCAUUCAUAUCAUCAAGUUUUGUUGAGAAGCAUCAAAUACCCACAGUACUACUAAAGUUACCCCUAAUAACCCGAACACCUGGGUCUGACAUCAAAUGUCAUCUAGGUUGUUCAAAUGUAAGGAUCAUUCUAAGUGGGGUAGUUUUCUUAGCAGACUUAGUAGUGCUCAAGUCUAAAGGAAUAGAUGUUAUCCUUGGAAUGGAUUGGUUAACCAGACAUAAUGGAAUUAUUAGUUGUGCAACCAAGGAAGUAUCAUUAGUUGACCAUGAAGGGAUUAAAGUGAAAUGCCAAACCCGAGGGUCUAAAGUUAAUCCAAUGGUCUUCAACUUGGAUGCAAGGACCAUAGAGGAAGUACCAAUAGUGCAAGAAUACCCUGAUGUAUUCCCUGAGGAACUAUCUGGAAUGCCACCAGACAGGGAUAUAGAGUUCAUCAUUGAUCUUAUCCCCGGGACUGCCCCCAUAGCCAAGAGACCUUACAGAAUGGCUCCGGCAGAGUUAGCUGAACUGAAAGAGCAGCUAAGAGACUUGCAGCAGAAAGGUUAUAUUAGACCUAGUUCUUCACCAUGGGGAGCCCCAGUCUUGUUUGUAAAGAAGAAAGAUGGAAGUAUGAGGAUGUGUGUGGAUUAUAGGUCCCUAAAUGAAGUCACCAUCAAGAAUAAGUAUCCCCUGCCAAGGAUAGAUGACCUUUUUGAUCAGCUUAAAGGAGCCAAGUAUUUCUCUAAGAUUGAUUUGAGAUCGGGUUAUCACCAGCUCAAGAUCAAGAAUAGUGAUGUUCCCAAGAUAGCUUUUGUAACCAGAUAUGGACAAUAUGAGUUUACAGUGAUGUCCUUUGGGUUAACUAAUGCCCCUGCCUAUUUCAUGAACCUCAUGAAUAAGGUAUUCAUGGAAGAGUUAGAUAAGUUUGUUGUAGUCUUCAUUGAUGACAUACUUAUCUACUCUAAGAGUGCUGAAGAACAUGGGCAACACUUGAGAGUAGUGUUGGAAAAGCUAAGAAGACACAAGUUGUAUGCUAAAUUCAGCAAGUGUGAAUUUUGGCUUGAGAAGGUUGCAUUUCUAGGCCACAUCUUGACAGCUGAAGGAGUUGCAGUCGACCCUGAGAAAGUAGAAGCUGUCUCCCAUUGGCAGCAACCCACCAAUGUGAGUGAGGUUAGAAGUUUUCUUGGAUUAGCUGGAUAUUAUCGAAGGUUUAUAGAAGGAUUUUCCAAGAUAGCCAGACCCAUGACAGAGCUUCUUAGGAAGGAUACGAAAUUCACUUGGAUAGAAUCAUGUGAGAAGAGUUUCCAAGAGUUGAAGAAGAGACUGACAACAGCACCAGUGUUAACUUUGCCAGACAUUCACCAAGAUUUCAUCAUAUACUGUGAUGCAUCAAGACAAGGUUUAGGAUGUGUUCUCAUGCAAGGAGGAAAAGUGGUUGCUUAUGCAUCCCGUCAGCUUAGACCUCAUGAGCAAAAUUACCCUACCCAUGAUUUGGAGUUAGCAGCAAUAGUACAUGCUCUCAAGAUUUGGAGGCACUACCUCAUUGGAAACAAGUGUGAAAUCUACACUGAUCACAAGAGUUUGAAGUACAUCUUCACACAGUCAGACUUGAACCUAAGGCAAAGAAGAUGGUUAGAAUUAAUCAAGGACUAUAACCUUGAGAUUCAUUACCACCCAGGAAAGGCCAACGUGGUAGCAGAUGCCCUAAGCAGAAGGUCAUAUGGUCAGCAGUUGGUGCCUAAGAACACUCACCUACAAGAAGAGAUAGCACGGUUGAACAUGCAUAUAGUACGCCAACCUCAAAAUGGCAGUCUGAUGGUGCAGCCAACUCUUGUGGAAGAAAUCAAGCAGACACAACAUAAGGAUAAGGAUCUAAUGAAGAUUCGUGAGCAAACUGGAGAAAAUAAAGCUCCAUACUUUAGAGUGGAUAACAAAGGAGUAUUGUGGUAUAAAAACAGGAUUUGUGUGCCCAAGGAGGGAAAGUUUCAAGAAUUAAUCCUUGAUGAAGCCCAUAACUCAGCUUAUUCUAUCCACCCUGGUGCCACCAAGAUGUAUAUGGACUUAAAAGAAAGAUAUUGGUGGAAUGGCAUGAAAGCUGAUGUGGCACGAUUUGUUGCACAAUGUGAUGUAUGCCAAAGGGUUAAAGCAGAGCAUCAGAAACCAGCAGGCUUGCUCCAGCCAUUGCCUAUUCCUGUUUGGAAAUGGGAUGAGAUAGGCAUGGAUUUUGUGAAUGGAUUACCCAAAACUCUGAAAGGAAAUGAUUCAAUAUGGGUAAUAGUGGACCGCCUUACCAAGGUUGCUCACUUCAUACCUGUGCGCACCAAGUAUAGUGGAGACAAAUUGGCCCAGUUAUAUGUGGAUAACAUAGUCAAAUUGCAUGGUGUGCCAAGUAGGAUUGUAUCUGACCGAGGUACCCAAUUUACCUCUAAGUUCUGGAAAAGUUUGCAUGAAGCUAUGGGAACCAAUCUAGAUUUUAGCUCAGCUUAUCAUCCUCAAACAGAUGGCCAGACUGAAAGAGUAAAUCAGAUUAUGGAAGAUAUGCUAAGAGCAUGUGUGCUCACAUAUGGUAAAGAUUGGGAGAAAAGCCUAACUUAUGCAGAGUUCUCCUAUAAUAACAGUUACCAAGCUAGUUUGGGCAUGUCACCUUUUGAGGCUCUGUAUGGAAGAAAAUGUAGAACCCCAUUGAUGUGGUCAGAAGUUGGAGAACGAACCUUGCUUGGACCAGCCCUUAUAAAAGAAGCAGAAGAUCGUGUAGCUGAAAUCAGAGAAAAAUUGAAAGAGGCACAAUCACGUCAAAAGAGCUAUUCUGAUAAAAGAAGGAGAGUUAAGUUUUGCAGUUGGAGAUUUUGUGUAUGUCAAAGUCUCUCCUAUUCGAGGAACUCGAAGGUUCCAAGUUAGAGGCAAGCUAGCACCACGGUAUAUUGGACCAUAUCAAGUAUUACAGAGGAUUGGAGCUGUAGCCUAUCGUGUUCGGCUACCUGAAGAAAUGUCAGAUAUACACAAUGUGUUUCAUGUCUCCCAAUUGAAGAAAUGUCUCAGAGUACCAGAGGAACAAAUAUCGCCAGAUACAGUUAAUUUACAAGAUGACCUAAGAUAUCAAGAAGUGCCAAUAAAAAUCCUAGAUACAGUCACCAAGCAAACUCGAACGACAACAGUCUGAAUUUGUCGUGUUCAAUGGAGUAGACACACUGAAGCGGAAGCAACAUGCCUUGAGAAAAGAGUUUCCCCAUCUAUUUAGGACCCAGCCGAAUUUCGAGGACGAGAUUUCUUUUAAGUGGGGUAGGUUUGUAACAUCCCAAAAAUUCGCAUUCAAAAAUCACUCGCAUUAAAAAUUAUUUUCAAAAUAUAUUUCAGAAACUAUAAAAUAAUUUGAGCUCUAUAGUAUCUCCAUCUAAUCCAUCCAUAUUUAUUUUUCGCGCACAAAUAAUAGCAAGUACCAGCAAGCUUACAUGCGAGAAAACAUAGCAGUGCACCUACACGAAUAUAUAUCUCAUGCAUGCAUGCAGGACAUGCCACCGACCAUUUGCAUGCACCUGCAUGCAAGGACACGGUGAUUAGGCACCGUCCAUUUGCAUGCAACGUGCAUGCAAAUGGGACAUCGUCCUUUGCAUGAAAAUUAGGCACCGUCCACCGUCCUGUCGUCCUGUGUAGCCAUGCACUACAGUAGCAAUUCUAAUGGCCACGAGCUGAGCACUCUGGCCUAUAAAAAGGCACUCUCGGGUGCUCACUCUCACCACCCGAGAAACACGUUCACUCACUCACUCACUCACUCACUCACUCGCUCUCACUUCGCGUAUACCGUAUACGACCAUACGCACAAGCCGAGCUCGACUGUCGUCGCAAGACGAGGUGAGCAGCUCAUGAGCAUCUCCUUGCUCUUCUCUGUCUUUCUGUAGUAUUUUUCUGUAUUUUUCCAUAUAUUUGUCUGUACCGGUUCACUGCCAAGAACUCCACGAAUAGAACCAUGACAUACAGAAGAGUUCUAAUGACCCCUGCUAAUUUCUCUCUAACCAUGCAUGUGUGGGCCAAGCAUUAACUCCAAAUAGUACAUGCAUGCAUGCAACAUGCACUACCAGCCAAACAAAUGCCCACGUAAAGCAUCCAUUCCUUAAUCAUCGUUAGACUUUUUCGCAUGAUUAAAUUCCGACCAUUUCACAAAUGCCACAUGCUAACUCUGAUUUUAAUAAUUCUUUUUCCUAAAUUCAUCUAAAAUCAUGAUCUACCUCCUAUAUUAAUUUCAUGAUUUUUAGAGCUCAUUUGAAUUUAUAUGAUUAUUUAUCUGUGCCUGUUGUCUGUGUCGUUCGUCACGUAUUUUAGCUGACGGAGUGAACGAGCCGGAAAACGAGAACGUUGGAGACGAGUACCGCGAGUUUGACGCCGAGGACUCGGACUGUCAGCAAGAGUUUGCUGAGGACGCCGACGGAGGCAAGUCCAACCGAUCCCCUUUGAUGCAUAUUGAUCCUAUUUUUAAACACAACCCGUAGAAGCCGUUUUAAAUAUUGCUUGUACGAUAUAUGUACGAAGUAUUUUUGCUGCUUAGUUAAAACCUGUUGAAUAGCCAUCCUUGAAUUGAUAUUACCCGGUAAUUGUCUUGUUCGAACCUAGGAACAAAUAAUAUGCUACGACAGAAAUAUUAUUAUUUAGUAUGCUUAGGACUUGUUACUCAUUCUGGAUACUCAUCGCUAUAUUUUCCCAAAUAUAAUGAUUUUAAAAGUAAAAGGUGUGAGUGGUGAAAAUAAAUUGUGGGUAUUGUGAAAGGGUUAAUGAACAAGUUACAGAUGUGUUUACUAUAGAGAUGGGGCGGAUGGGAUCUCUUUUGGGAUGCCCUGGUGUUGUGGCUUAUACCUUGCGGGGUUAAGCGUGAAGAUAUCCGCCUUGUCUCGAUUAAGGACUGAGUUGAUGAUUCAUCUUGCCUAACUCAUUUAUCGUACAACCACUCGCCUUGCAUGGGAAAGGCUUAGUCUAAAUCCCUCUAGUUAGUAUGACAAUCACCUGGAGGCAGGUGUGCAACGAGACACUAAGUGAUGUAUGUGAAAUUGUGGAAUUGUAUGAAAAGAGCUUUGUGAAUUAUUGUGGUAUCAUGAGAUGUGGCCUUAGUGUUCCCGUGGUGAGCGCCAUUACUUAGCUAUGGAGGGUAAUGACUUUGAUGGAUCUGUGCUUGCACGACGGUGUAAGUUAUGGUAUCCUACUUGUGGGAAAAGUGUACAACCUCUGCAGAGUGUAAAUCUAUCUGGAUAGCCGUGUCCGCGGUCUCGGACGGGUUAUGGUUCGGUUUCAACAACUAGAUGGAUUGGGAUGAGUGAAAACAUGAGAGUGAGUGUGAUUUUGGAAAUAAAUGGUUGACUGCCAUUGUGUUGUGGGAACAAGGGUUCAACAACACUUAAAAUUGUGAUCAAACCCCCAUUUUUUUAGAAAUACUAUCAUAUGUGGAAAAAGAGGUCUUUUACAACAGUAUUUGUGAAAUGAAACCUUGCAUGUGUAAAAAGAUAGCUUUAUGCAAAUAGAACUAAGCCUCAUCCUUGAUUUAUCCAUAUGCAUAUAUACUGUUAUCCCCUUCCGUAGGGUAAGGUUGGAUUUGCUGAGUACUUUGUACUCACCCUUGCUUUAUUAAACAGAGGAAGAUCCGGACUUCGAUCCCGAAGUGGCGUUCGAGUAAGGUCGUGUCUGCACCCAACUAAGCCUGUGGCAUUGGGACUCGUCAGAUGUUCGAUGGCGAUAUCGUUUGUUUCUGGGUCCUUUGGACCUAUGUUGUAUUUUGGUGUUUAUUAUUAUAGCGUGCCUUCAUUGUCCACGCUUAUCGAGACUACUGCGCUGAAACUUAUCUGAUGUAAUAAAUGUGUUACUAGCCUCCUGGGACUAGUAUUGUAUCACAUUUGAGUUCCUGGUUUACCAGGGGCGCUUCAAUUAUAUAACUCCUUAAUUAACUAUAAAAAUAUGUAUUGUAGCCCUUUAAAUAUAUUUUGCAAUACUAUUUUUAGUUCAAAUAAUCAAAAGAUUGUUUUGCAGUGUUACAUACUUUAAGAGCUAUAACAUAAAUGUUCAACGAAACAUAGUAUAAUUGUCCAAAAGGACUGGUUUAUAGAUUUAUAUUACAAUUGUUACAGUAAUAUAAUGUUGCGAGUUGAACUAGCUAAAGUUUGACUAAAAUUAUAGUAAAUAGUAUUAUUAGCAUCUAUGUCUCUACAUAAAUUUAUUAUGAAAAUAUAUUAUAUAACUAACCCAAUGAUACUUAUUUUACAUGAUUAAUGUUAAAUUUAGUCAAAUUUUAGAUAAUCCGACUCCUUAAAAAACGAGAAUUACAUUCUUACGUGGAGGGAGAGAAUAUGCAGCAGUGACUGAUUGUAUGACGUCGCCACGUGUAGCUUGGACAAAUCCUGUGAAACAGGAGCUUGUGUGUUUUGCUGUGAUGACUUGUGUUGGUGGAUGAUACUGAUCAAAAUGCCACGGUCUUUAUUAAUGACAAAAUGCCAAAAUUCGGAAACCCAGGUAGUUCUGGCAUGCCAUUCAGUAGGACAAGUGUUGUAGCAUUUCAUUAUUGUAUAUAUGUCGUACUUAGUACAUGUCUUAAAGUUGAGAUGGACCGUAGGAAUGUAGGGAGAGGGGGUGGCUUCGAGAACGGGAUUCUUGCCCAAUUAUUCCUUUUCUCUCCCUCUGUUCCCAACCCAAGUGAUGAACGAUGAUAUACUGUACAGCAUGAGUUAUCCAUGUUUGAGAUUCUAUUAUGGGUAACUAUGUCAUUUGUUUUGUGUGUGUCUCUUCGAUCAGGCCACAUUUUGCGUACUACCAGCCUUUAUACUAAAAUAUUGAAGCUGCUUUAGACAACGACACAGUCUCCAAAAUAUAACUUUGACUUCUUAUUUUUUAUAAAAAUAUUUAUCAAAAAGUAAUAUAUGUAUAUUUUUUGAAAGUAUUUUUCAAGAUAAAUUUAUUCAUAUGGUUUUUACAUUACCAAACUCAACAACUUAAAAGUUAUUCAUGAUUUAUAUUUCCAAUAUUUGACUCAGACUUUAUCCAAAAUGACUUGACUUUUGAGUAUGGAGGGAGUCCGCAUAGUGCUAACUCAAAUAGCCAAUUGCAUAAAGAUACUACAUCCAUUUUUUAAGGUCAACUACAUCCAUUUUAAAUUUUACAACGUUUUGUUUUUGAAUACAUAACUUUUUCUAUAUGCUUAGAUAUAUAUUAUUAUGUCUAGAUAUAUACUAGUUAAAACAAUGUAUUUAGAAAAGUUAAAACAUCUUAUAAUUUAUAACGAAGGGAGUAACAUUUAUCAUAAUAAAAAUAAUAUCAUUUGAUCAUCGUGGAAUAUAUUUUUCAACGUAUAUAUCUACCUGGAGUCAUAUGUACUAAUAAUAUUUUGUAUAAAUUUAAUUAAAUUUAAAAUAUUAUGAAUUUAGCUAAACCUAAAGUUCUUUCGUGGGACAGAGGUAUAGAAAGAUGCUCAGUGCACCUAUUCAUUAGAGAGAAAAAAACCUCGUAACUCAUCGUACAAGAUUUUUCGUAGAAAACAUUUCAAUACGUUAUCGUAAUUUAACCAUGCAUUUUAAUAUUUUAUGUAUUUUGCAACUGGUCAAAAGACUCUGUAUCUUUGUCCAAAAGGACAACUGGACAAGAGAGAUAUAUAUAAAUGCAUAGAUAUAUGCCAAUAAUUCAGCCACGCGUGUGUGAUGUAAGUUUGUACAAAUCUUGUGAAUAUACUCCCUCCGUCUUAAAUACUGCUAUUUCUAGGAGAAAAUUUUGUCCACAAAUACUGCUAUUUCUACUAGCAUACUCAGUACACCAGCCCAUUUAAUUAUCCUCAGAACUUGCGUGGUUCACCAACUCAUUUAAUUUCUUCUAGGGAGUAGUACUUUGGCGCAUGGUAAUUGGUUGAGUCUAUUCAGUUGACAUUAAAUGCAGCUCGUUGGAACAAGAGAAUCAUGGCUUAACGUGCAUGAUUAAAUGGUGGAAUCUAAAUUAAUUAAGGGUAGAAUGGUCUUUUGUUUGUCACACUAAUCUGUCUGAAAUCUGCUAGAAAUAGCAGCAAGUGCCUUGUGUGUCUGGACUCUCCGGAGGUUUGUAGCUAGAACACCCAAUUCCUAAUUAACAUCCCGAUUGAGACGACAUCUACUUUUGUGAAAUUAAUCAAAAUCUUCCUUGAACAAACUCUGAAUUCUUUACUUCAACUGUCAUUUUUUUGCUGCAUCACUAUCCACACAAAUGUAUAUAUAUGUGUGUGUUUGAUUGAUUGAGACUUGAGAGGGGAUGAUCAAAUUAAAGAGAGGAUACAGCAGCAAAAGUCGUGGGCUUCUAGAUGAAGAAAUAAUCGUGGGUUAUGCAGGUGGUUGAGGUGCCGAGGGCGCCACAUGCAUGCAUGGUCGAUCGCCACACUCUCUGGAACGGAACGGGCUUUUGAAAAACGGGGCACCACCACUGAUUUCCUGUUGGGGCCGACAGGUUUAUUUCCCUUUCCUGCCGAUUCAUUUCUAGCUGGCUUUUUCUUAGCUUAGCUUUCAAGUUUCAAUUUACAGCGAUAGAUUUUUCACGCGUUUGUUUUCUAUCCCAAAAUUAUUGUUGCUACUUUAUUUAUUAGAAAAAAAUAUAUCAGUUUGUUUGUUUGUUUUUUUUUUGUGUAUGUGUGGCGCCGGCGGAUCUUAUUUUGACGCGCGCUCCGAAUUGGGCCGAUGUUGAUGGCCACCAUUAAAGAAAUGAAAUACGUACUCCAUAGAUUAAUUAAGUGAUGUGUUUUCUUAUGAAUUAUUCCUAAUUAACUGACACGUGCUGCUAGUUUUUUUUUCCUCCUAUACGAUUCUGUGGAUUUGAGUACGUGGGUUCUUGUCAUUUUCACGUCAUGAGACCCAUAUAUAAUAGUAGAGCCCAAAGAGGUCCCAGAUAAAUAAGUUAGCAUGUGCAAUGGAAAGACUUACGUGGUUUGACAUAUUGUUGAUGGAGAAAAAUACUGGUAUUCUCCAGCAUCUAGAUGAUAUCGUUAUAUAUGCGUGACGACGCUGCAUGCGUGUGGUGUGCAUGGCUGGGGGUUGCAUUGGUCUUUCCUGACUUGACUAACGACCCAUGACCAACAAUCCCCUCUCUAGCUACUUGUAUGACUCCGGCCGGUUCAGAGUCUCUCUACUAACCAAAAUUUAAAUAAAUUAUUAUUAUUUCGCACUGAGCAAUAUAACAGAACUAGGGAGCGUAGUAGUGAUUGACAAUAACAGAACUUCAGAGUCAUCUCAACCCCCACCGAUCGAGAUCUACGGGCCCCCGCUGCUGCCGCUCCUGUCCUGGACUCCUGGUGUAGUGUAGGUAGGUUCGAAUUCACCGCUAGCUGUAUUAAGUACACCCCUCUUUUCUUUAAAAAAAAGUGUAAUAAGAUGAACGGUCAAACACGAUGUCGGAAAGUAAAAAACGUCACUCUUUAAUUUUUGAGACGGAGGGAGAGUACUUUCGAAGGUGGAUCGACCACGGAACAUAUUAAAUGAACGAGUACGUAAAUUAAUUACAUCCGUACAUCAGUACAUGCAGUGUGCACGCAUUAUAUUUCAUCUUCAAAAGGCGUUGUUGAACAAACAAAUUACUUCAUCCGUCUCAAAAAACCGUUGUUGUUGACUUUUAGACAUCUUAUUUAACCGUUCGUCCUAUUAAAACUUUUUUAUAAAUAUCGUCUAUUUUGAUAUGACUUGUUUGAUCAAUAGAGGUACUUUAAUAAAGAUUUAUCUCAAUGUCGAUCCCUAAUGUGUGUUUGUCUCUCUCUCUCUCUAUAUACUCACUUUGUGUAUGUAUGUCUCUUCCACACGACAUAUAGCUAGCUAGGUCGCCAUCAGCCAUCGACGAUCGAUCGCCACACACCGUACCAAAAGGAAUGAUGACUGAGUGUUACUAUUAGCUGCAAAACCGAUCGAGCAGCAAGCUCGAUUCGUUCGCCAUCAUCAGGCCGGCCGUGUGAACGUGAUCACUUUCGCAAGCAAUGACCGCCAGCCGUGUUGCGUGUGAAUAGGUUAGCAGAUAUAUAUAGCAGCACCACGUCGCUGGUGAUCACCAUAAACUCAUGCAUGUUGUGUUAUUGAUGAGAAAGCACGAGUUUGUGUGGCGCGGCCCGAUGAGAGAUUUAAUUAAUUCUUGGUCCGAUCGAUGAGCGUGCUGGAAGGAUUCAAAAAUCAAGGCACGUUUCCAUCUCCAGACUUGACCUAGCUAGCUCAAUUGUAGUGUAUAUAGAUCAUUAUUAAGGGCGUAAAAUCAGAGUCGAAGAUAGUAUGACGUACCAAUCCUUGAUAUAAUAACGCACGCGCAUGCUGUGAUGGCCGGCCGUUUCCUGUAUAUACGGAUUGUAAAAAUAUUCAUUGUACAUACUUUACUAGAGCAUUCUUCCAACCAUAGCUAGUAUGUACUCCCUCCAUACUCAAAAUAAGUGAUGUUUUGAACAUGAUUAUUUUUACCAAGGAGUGAUUAGUAUAGGGUUAGUUUUUCGUCUUUGCCCUUAAUAAAUGUGGUUUUGGGUGAAUCUACAUCGAGAAACAACCAAGUGUUCAGAUGGAUAACAAAGGAAGUUUGGUCCCCGAAGCGUGAGGUCCUGUGUUUGACGCCUGUAAGGACCAUUUUUUUGCAGCAGAGAACAAGGGGAGCGCGUCGCAUGCGCGUGUUCACGGACGUUGCAAUUACUACGUUGCAUGGCAUCCAAGGGCAUAUGAGGAAAAACUACUAACGCUAAGUCCACAACGUCACUCUUUAUGAAAAUAGACCAUAGACCUCAAACGUCACUUAUUUUAGGUAUGGAGGAAGUAUAUAUAGACAAGGACUUAGACAUACCGUGAUGUAGGCAGUCUAGAGUUUUUUUAACCGUUGUCGGCACCCUUAACUAUAUUUUUUUUGUUUUUUUAACCUAGUCUAGAAAUUCGUCUCCGAGCAUGGCCUGCUGGGUUUAUCAGGGAGCACUAACCACUUGACUAGCCUGCUCGCUAAGCAGACUAGAGUUGUACAAGUGUAACGGUGUUCUUGUAUUGGGACAAAAUGCAACUUUACAUUUAAAACUUGUGUGGAUCCAUAAAUUGUACAUGAAGAGGCUAGAAAAAAAAGUCUUAAACUCUAUUAGCACACGCAGAGCAUAUGGGGCGGUAUACACACUCUCUAUUCUUCCUCGCCUCCUCUCUCUCUCUCUCUCUCUCUCUCUCAUCUUCGUCUUCCUCGCGCUAUCUUGUGGUUACACCUCACUCCACACGACUCUCAUUACGGCCUCAACUACCGCCCUCGACCAUCACCACCUCUAACUUGAGCUUUUCUCAAGAUCUGGCAUGAGCGCCUAGUCCUCUGUCAUUGGCUUGAUCACCGCCGCUGCUAGUCCAACAUCCUCCCUGAAAGCUCCUUGCAAGCUCAGAUAGUACAAAACCCCUGAAACCUAGAAUCCUAAUAUCACGACCAGCUUCAUCUCCAACAAUUGCAGUGGCGGCAAGUGAAUUUGCCUACAAUUUUUUUGUCUUCUAGUGCAUGCUCCAAAGUCGCUUGUUGUGCCUCAAUAGCAGAAUCAUUCUUCUCAUAUUCUAAGUGCAUAGCAAAAGCUAUAUAUUUAAAAAAGUUAAAAUAUUUUAUAAUUUAGAAUAAAGGAAGUAUAUAUAACAGUGCUCCUGCUAUUUUUUGAAAAAUAUUAAUAUAUUAUUUUAAUUAUGCAAUAAUGCUGGAUAUGUUUGUCUUCAUCUUUCGAUAUAUGAUGCUUGCUAAGAGCUCUAGCACGCAUCGUGGAGAAUGUUGAAACUAACCUAAUUAAGGAAACAAAGAGCCUGACAAGAAGGUCAAACGUGGAAGGUCGUUGCACGUGCAAAUUUGUUGCACCCAUGUCACCUGAUGAUGUCAUGACCUCAUUGGUUACGUUUGCAACGGCUGUAGACACAAGCAAAGCCAUUAGUUAACUUAAACCUGUUUAAUGAACUAGGACUAACAAGUAGUUCUGUUAACUUUUAUAUAUAGAUAAUGAACUAACAACCUGUAUAUAUUACAAACUGGAUUAAUAAUUAAUUUGCAUUUUACAUCUUUAUUAAGGUCUGGAAAAUUAAUCAACUAAUUGUUAGUCCUGUAGACCCAAACAAGACAAAAAAAAACUCUCCAUAGAUCCACGUAGGAUAAAUAAUAGUAUGGAUAUUUCUCUACCUACCUGAUUGUACGUGUAUCUUGUGCCGUACGUGGACACCCAAAAAUUUCUACAAUUUACUGAACUCAAAAUUUUUCUUGUAAUUUGUCGUGUGUUUCUAUGUGGGCCUGACUCUAUAUGUGAAGGAGCUAGAUUAGCUAUAGCAUACCAAUCAAAGUAUAUAUAUAUAUAUAUAUAUUGCAAAUGAAUUGGCGAUUAUAUUAGAAAUAACUAUUCGAGAUGAAAUGAUGAUCAAAAGUUCGAGAAAAUCCACGGCAAACUUCUGGCCCAACAUUUGAAGCGGGUCUCGAUCUGAGAGCUGGAGCCACAAGGCAUGAUGAGCACCGUACUAAUUGGGCACGGCUUUAAAAACGUUUGUGGUCUCGUGAUUAGUCAGAUUGAAGAAACCAUACAUGAAUGCUAAAGUCAGUGUCGAAAGAAAGAGGAGUCGUCCAUGGAUACAUCAAAGACUUUUUGCUUGGUGGACACGGUUUUGAAUUUGAAGUACCUGCGAGGUGACGCAAAAAAGGAUUCAGUUGUAAAUUAGAGAGGUGUCACUUCGGAGUUAGGUACGUCUAAACAGGCCCGCCGAACAUUCCUUUAGUUUAAGGUUUAUUUUUUUCAGAAUUUGACAAGCAUUCGCUCACUCGGAGCGGUCUCAGGGGACAUUGAUAGUUUCUAUCUACAUUAAUUACUUUGACAAUUCGGCAAUUUACUGAUAUGGCAACACUUUUAUUAUUAAGAGAUAAGAAAAAAAAACAGAGAAACUAUUUCCUCCCUAAGAAAUCGAGUCGUCUCUUGAACUGAUGCGCAAAGAAACGAUGGCAUGCAUGAGCGAUGGGGAGACUCAGCUCGUUUCUUCCUCCACUCGCUCGGAUUCUAUCGACUAAAUAUGGUCGGCAGUCUACUUAGGGUAUACUCAAGAUAGUAGUGGAAACUAAACCUAGUCGAUUACAAUUGCCAUAGAUAGUUCGAUAUCAAUUCCUAUUGUAACCGACUAGAUCUUACUUGAUCUCCACUACCUUUCUUGCGUGGAACUCCGAGCAGAUCGAUCAAGCCACGAAUCAUCUUAUAAUGGGCCAAUCCUUUCGGCCCAAACCUAGCCGUAAGGGUAUAGGGGUUUAUAUACCCACGGAUCUCCUAUGGUUGUGCAGGCUCAACAUGAACUCACUAGUUCUGCCUCGCUGCUCCCAUCCUCCUGCGCGCCACCACUCAACACUCGCCUUGCACUCGAUGGUUUUGUGCACAAAAGAUCCGGAGAGGAAAGAGAGGAUCGCGGUGAAUGAUCGGUCAUUUUGUGAAAAUUUUACAUUGGGAAAAGUAGUUUCCUGGUACAGUGUCCCAUGAUGUAGAAAUUGCUACUAGUUUCUUCCAUUGGACUGCCCUCACAAUAGUGUAUAAGCAAAAUAUCUUUCUUGCAGUUUUGUUAUGGCAUAGUGUCAAAUUUAUUUAAAGAGAUUCGUCAGAAUAGCAACUUUAAGAUUCAUCCAACGUCAUACGUGCGUAGUAGUACACUAUCACACCAAUGAUUUUUAGACGCGGUCACACAAAGUCAAGUUUUAGCUAGAUGCGGUUUUUGAAAUGUGGCUUUUCAAAGGGCAGUUCUACUAAGUCAACCACCCCAGACAUCUAGUUGACUUCAAAGUUAACCGCUGUGAUUUUUUAAUCACCUUUAAAACAUUUUCAGGGUCGUCGUUUUACAUAAAACAAUAGGAGGUAACUAUAAAAAAGUUAUUUGUGUAGUGGUGGCAUAUAUAACAAUUCUUUUUGGUACAAAUGUAAUGAUUUAUGUUAAAGAUGUAUAUGUUUCUAUUGACAAUAAUAAUUGGUAUUAUUUCACCCUUAAUAUCAUAGGCGGAUACAGAGGUAUUCCUGGUAUUUCUAGGAAUACCCAACUUUUUUAUGCACCAAGUAUAUAUAGAUAUAUUUAUACAUAUGUAUAUUUAAUAUAUUAGCAUUUCUAUAUUAAGGAGCUAAUAAAUUUCUCUCUCAUUUUUUUAGUAUAUACUUGUAUUCCUUUUUUCCACACAGGUUCUAUAUUAGUUUGAUUGUCAAAAUUAUUCUACUUUGUUAUUUCUGCAAAUUAGAACCUAAUUAUUUAUCUCCAGACCACAUACAUAUUGACUCAUGCUGCUAAAUAUCGGUUAAAUCAUAUCUUGCUUUCAAACUCUUUUUCAAGAUAAAUCGGAAUAUACACAUAGCAACAUGUACAAUAAAGUAUUCUUUCAUGUGAGUGAACGAAAUAUGAGUGAGAGGCAAUUCCGUAAUCCCCAUUUGUAACACCCAAAGUUUGAAUUUCAUUUAAUAGGGUUUAAUUUGAUUUAUUUAAGUAUUUUUGUGGGCAUAUAAAUCUAGCAACUAAAUAAUUUUGUGGGAAUUAAAAAUUCAUCAUAGGUUUAGCAACCCUGAUUGUGCAUUCAUGCUGGAGCAUCUUUAUUUAUUUGUGCUGCUGACAUUGGUUGGAAUUUAUUUGCUCUCAAAAUCCUAUUUAAAGAGGCUUUGGAAAAUAAAGAAAAGAAAAGAAACAGCCGGACUCGGCUUGGUGGCCAACUGGCCGUGAGGCCCAACCAAACCCCCCACCCCGGCCCAGUUUCCCCCCCUGCAGCCGAGCCUCCCCCCUGGUUCCCUUUUCUCUCAGUUCGGCCCAGCUUGCGGCCCAGGGCGUGCUUUCUCUCCUCUCUCUCUCUGUUUGGAUGACGAGCGGGCCCCGUUUCUUCUCUCACCGCCAGCCGGUUCCCGCGCGUCAGCUCCCUCUCUUCCACCUUCCUUUCUCUUGUUCGUAACCGAGUAGGAAAACCGCACCGAAUCAAUCCCGUGAUACUAGGGAUUGAUCGUUCUCCGUGCGCCGUGAGCCCCCUAUAAAGGUCUUAGACCUCGGCCGCACUCCGUUGCUUCAAACGCACCGCGAAACCAAGCCCUAGACACACCAGCAAACUCGGUCGAGAUCCAGCUUAGGCCGAAGCCGCUCCGCCGCGUCGUGUGAGCUCUCGGUUCGUUUCCUGGCCGAAUCGAACCCCGUGGUGAGCUCGCCUCUCUCUCCUCUUUCUUCCCGUAUGCUCGGCUUGAGUUUUGGUGCUCGGAAACGAGAAGUCGGACGACGCCAGUGAGCUCCGGCUCUCUGGCCAUGGCGCCGCCACGCUGGGGCGCAGGGAGAUGGCCAGCCCGCCGCCGAAGCCUCCUGGAAGAGAUCUCGGCCGUCGGAUCGAUCGCGGACGGUCGAGAUUAGAAGAUACUCUUUCGCCUGGAGAUCUUUCUAAAGAGUCCCUGAGCUUUUCUCUAAAUGAACCCGCGGUCCAUAGCGCUUUUCACAGUUUACGUUUUCAUUUUCUAAAAGCGCAUUUUCGUCGGUUUGAAUCAAUUUACGCUUUCCAGUAUUUACAGAAUUGCCAUUGAAAUUGUUUUGGUCAUAAAAUGCUCAUUUUAACUCCGUUUUUGUCCAUUCAAAUUUCGUUAGAUUCGUAUUCAUGAGCUCUACAUGUUAGAAGUAUUAGAUUACUGUUUUGAAACUUUUUAAUUCUGCAGUAGCAUUUAAUUAAUUAUUUCUCUAUAGGAAAUCUUAGAAAAUUUAUAUCUUCCACGUUUUAAUUCCGAUUUUCAUGAACUUUGCGUUUGUGUGAUCGUAGCGCUGCGUAGAAUAUUUUCAUAAACUUUUUAUAUUUGUUUUACCACUGUUUGGUGUAAUGUUCUAAUUAUAGCUUGUUUGCUUCGUGUAUGAUUGUCUAUAUUGGAUUGCGUGUUGUUGAUUGAUGAUCGAGUAUGGACGGUGAGCCGUACGUUGGUGAUCAAGACCAAGCCUUUGAAGACCAGCAGGCUCAGGAGAGCUUUGAUCAAGGCAAGUAUAACUUGGGAUCAUCCUUGUUACCUAUUCACUUAUAACUACACAUAUAUAUCAUAUGCAUGCUAUCACCUUGUCGACCUUAGCAAAAUCAUAGAUGAUUGUUACCUGGAUUCCUUGCUACCUACUUGACAUGCAUUUGUUGUAGAUGUGCUAGUGCUUGAUAUAAUCUAUGAUCUUGUAAGAUGAUUAAUAGCUAUGCAAUAAACAUAAAAGAAUGACAAAUAACUGUAUGAGAUCUUGUUUGUACGUGAUCACCCGGGAUAACAGUGCAACCAUGAGGGCUAUAAUGGCUCUGGCUUUAGCUCAGUAUGAAGACCUUUUCUAGCUUGUUACAGGUUACCCGAAAGGGCGGAGGGGCUGAACCGUUUUGGGUAUAGCGCGAGCCCCUGUCCCUAUGUGUAUAGGCUGCGCGUCAUUGUGCCAUUCGGAAGGGGUAUCUAUAUCUGCGCGCAAAGGAAACCUUGCAGCCCUAACAUGUUAGACGAACUUUUGAAAGGCUUCAUAGUGAUCCCUACCGACCUCCCUAGGAAGGGGGUUAAGAGACUAGCUACCUCGGGCGAAAGGGUAAAUCAUGACUCAUGGGUAAAGAUGUACAACCUCUACAGAGUGUAAAACUGGUAUACUAGCCGAGCUCACGGUCAGGAGCGGCCUUGGGGACAUCUACAUUAAGAUGAUGAGCUUAUUAUGUUAUUAUGUUCAUUUGAUUAUCGUUUAUGCUAUGAGAUUAAUUAUGCUUACACUUGAUCAUGUAAUUAAUGGAUUAUUUAUGCUACCUUGACAUUUGCUAUUUAAUUAUGAAUAUGCUAUCCACUAUUAAAAGCUAAAUGCAGUCAAACCAGUGUCAGCUAUUUGAGCCUCAUGAACCCCUGGUUAUACUUGUUGAUUACGAUAUGUGCUCACUCUUGCAAUUUCCCAGCACCCCAGGUUAUGCCAAUGAUGAUGACUGGAAUGAGGACUAUCGCUAUGAGUAUUAGGUUUGGUGUCAACCAGUCAAUAGUGUCCCCGUGUGGAGCUUCCGUCGAGAGCGUUGUUUACUUUAUGCUAUCAUCUUUGUAUGAGACUAUGUGAUUUAUUAUUGUUCCGCUAUGUAAUAAACACUGCAAUGGUACAUUCGAGAUUUGUCUACUUAUGUGUGCGACUAUUCCUGGGGCACAUACCCUAUGCCUACAUGGUGACCAGCGAGAGCGCACGUCGGUCAUGGUUAUUAGAGACAACAGUUGAGCGCACGGGCUACCAGACACCCAUAGGGGAAUACCCAAUGUUUAAAUUCUGGCUCCGCCACUACUUAAUAUCCAACACAAGUUCUUGGCAAAGGAUGAUAUUAUGCAAUAUCGGCUGGCUUGGGCUCCACGGCAUGAAGCGCCCGAAACUAGCUGAUUAGUGAUAGUUGUUGCUAGCAAAGUGGAGGCCUGCGGUGUGAUGUAAAUUUUUUGUACAGUUUUUUUUUCUUUUGCAUUGUUUAAUAAAACUAGCGGCAAAACUUUUGCAGUUCUUUCUUUAAAAAAAACUUUUACACGUUGGUGAAAAGAAGACGCAAGUGACCGCGCAGCGUAUAAAUAAUAUAUGAUCUUGGUGUGUGACACAUGUUAUACACCGGAUUAUCAAGUGUUUAAAGGGGGUAGCAUUCACGCUAAUUUUAGCCCGAUCGCAUGCAUAUACGCACACUCUCCGAGCAAUUUUACCAGAUCAUCAGAUUGCCUGAUGGCCAGGAUCGUUGCGUCGCAGACAAGUUGCCCGUUAGGUUUGAACUCCACUUUCUUAUGAAUAUAUAUACUUGCAGCAUGCAUACUAUAUUAUCUGAGUUUUUUAAAGUAAAAAGUGCCACUAGAUCUUGAUAUUGACAAAGUUAAUAUAGACGGUAUCCUUGUUAACAGGGUGUGUCAUCUAUCGCUAAAAGAAAAGCAUAAAAUGUUUCUAGAAAUAAACUUAAAAAAGGAUCCGUCUAGCCAGCACUAAGUUGUUUUGGGUCUCAAAAAUAGUUCAUUUUUGGACCAUGAUCUCCUUACCCAACGGCUCAUGGCUCUCACCCAAACCCAACGUCUUCUUGUUCCUAUAUAGGCAGACGCGUCACCACCAUUUCACCGCCACCCAUCGUGAUGUGGUAGGGUUUCAUCGGAGCUCUAGGGCCGACCUCCUUCUUCCACUCCCACCGUCACCGUCAUGGCCAUGAUCACUUCCGCCUCAACUUAGCCCGACCACCUCCGCCACCGCUGCCUGCUCCGGCGUCACGCCACCUUCACCUCGUUGCCAUCUCUCUUGUCCCCUCCAAAUAGCAUACGUGCCUUCUAAAUAUUUCUUCUAAGGCAGUUGGAGAUAGAGAAAAAGAGAGGGAGAGGAAGAGAAGAGACAAGAACCAAGUGUUCCGACAACACUUGAGUGGAAUGUAGCAUUUCUCUAAAAAAAAUAAACACCAUUAGGUCAAAGAACUUGAACGCUGAUAAGUGCUACUAAAAAUUGGAGUUCUACUUAGCCUUGGUGUUCAAAUGACCUCAAAAUUAAUUUAUUUUCAGUGCACCUUCUAGUUCAAAUGAUCCGAAAGGAUUGGUUUGCAGUGUUAAAUCUUCAAGGGCUACAAUGUACUAGGUUUUAUGGUUGAUAGUUUUACAUAGUAAACGCUCAAACAGUUACAUAGACUUUUUUUUUAAAAAAUCGAUGUUGAAUAAAACAUAGUAUGUUUGUCCAAAAGGAGUAGUAAAAUUCCACUGAUUGUAUGGCGUCGUUGCACCGCUUGUGGCUUGUAGAAAUCUUGUGAAACCGGAGAAAGUGUGCCUUUGUGCCAUUCUGUGUUUUGCUGUGAUGACUUAUAUAUGUCGGUGGAUGAUAGUGAUCAAAAUGCCACACCUUUUAUUUAAUGACAAAAUGCCAAAAUUCGGAAACCUUCCGCCAUGACAUUCGGUAGUAGGACAAGUGUUGUAUCAUUCAUAUCAUUAUUGUGUAUGUCCUACUUAGGGCUUGUUUAGUUUUUCUUGUUAAAUUUUAGUCAGCUAAAAUUAUUUUAGUGUCUCUUGGGUGACUAGUGAAACUAAAUUAUUUUAGUUUUUUAGUCAGUGUGUUUGAAAAUUUAGCUAUUAAAAUAACUAAAAUUUAGCUUGCUAAAAUUUAGUAAAGGGAACUGUUGGGAAGUAGCGCACUGCACUCCCCAGCAACACGGUGAAACGAGAACCUACUCACCCGGUGCCGUGAGAGGCUGAACGGUAAUGAACAGUGAACUCAACAGUAGGUGAAUACAAUGAAUGCUCUCUCCAUUAAUGACGGUAUCACACCCCUUAUAUAGGGCUCGGAAACCGACCUAAGACAAUUACAGAUAUGCCCCGUGACGGUGGGGGAAUAUUUCAGCAUAUUCUUACAUCACAGUCUACUGACCCUAAGUCACUUGUGUAAUUUCACACCACGAGCUCUCCACGCGCUCCUCGUCUGGGGCUUCAGACUGUCGAACGCUCGUAUCCUCCGCCCAGCAGCCGAUCCUUCGACACUUCUCCGUCGGAGGUUCCUUGGCUUGGCCACGCUGGAGGUUCCUCGGGCUGGCCACUCCGGAGGCUCCUCGGCUCAGAUGCGCCGGAGGUUUAUCUUCUCCGCCGCGUCCUUCGAACAUCCUUCGUCACAGGAAAGCUCGAAGGUUCCCUCCUUCUUCGCCUGCAGAUCUCCGCCGGUGUCCCAGUCCCUCCAUAUGCUCAACAUCACAAGAGGCAUGUCAACGUCAGUCUUUCUCAGGAUCCUCCGCAUGUAUCCGCACGGAUGUUCCUUGGGUGAAGGAUAGCCUUCGACGUUUCAUACGUCGGAGGUUCCUCGGGUGAAGGAUAUCCUUCGACGGUACCAGGGGAAAGGAUGCGACCAUUCCCCAACAGUUUCUCUCUUUUUAGGCUAAUGACACUCCUGCGGUUGAAAGGUCCAAAUGGCUAGAGGGGGGUGAAUAGCCUAUUUAAAAUUCUACAAACUUCAACUAGACAAGUUGAUUAGUAAAACAAAAGGCGAAGCUAUUCUAGCACUAGCACGACUAAGCUAUGCAAGCCACCUACACAAGUCUAGCAAGAAAGCUAAACACAAGUUACAACAAGAAAGCACAACUACAAACUUGCUACACUCCUAAACAAGCAACUAGCAAGAUAUACAAGAAAGUAAAGGAGUGGAGAACCAACGUUGUAGAGUAGAGAUAUAUCCAAUCAAUCACUCACAAUCACAAGAGAAUCAUCGGCAAGAGAUGACACAAGAUUUUUUACCGAGGUUCACUUGCUUCCCGGCAAGCUAGUCCUCGUUGUGGCGAUACACCCACUUGAUGGAUCACGAGCUAAUUGGCAAUCCAAAGCCAAACCCUCAGCGGGUGCCGCACAUCCACUCACAAGAUGGGGAUCCUCCAAGCCACGAGCAAUCCACUAGAGUAGCCAAUUGCGAUAUCCCGCGGGGAAGGCUCAAGAACCCCUCACAAAUCACUUGGUGAGGCUCGAAACAAUCUCCAAUCAUGAGCUCAACACCACCGCUGCUCCAAGCCGUCUAGGGCGUCGGGAAACACCCAAGAGUAACAAGAAAUCCGCAGCGAACUCAAGAAUCAAGUGCCACUAAAUGCAACUCUCAAAGCAAUGCACUUGAAUCUCACUCAAUCUCACUAGGAUGAGCAAUCAAGCAAGGAGAUGAGUGGAGAGAGUGUUCUCUAGCUCAAAGUAUGCCUCAAGUAAUCAAAUGUUCAAGAGAGAACCUCCCAAAGCCGGCCACCAACUAUUUAUAAGCCCCUCAAAGAAACUAGCCGUUGACUGUUUUCACUGGGCUGAAAACGGGGGCACCGGACGCUACUAAUGAGCACCGGACGCUCAUCCCCCAGCGUCCGGUGCACUGGGGUUAGCCACGUGUCCUUCUUGAGUCUCGCGUGUCAGAUUCUAAUGGCUACCUGCAACACACCGGACGCUCUGCAAGUCCACACCGGACGCAUCCGGUGCACACCGGACUCAUGCGCAGAGAGUUCCGCAAACGUGCGGGUCACCGGAGGCUAAGCACCGGAAGCGUCCGGUGUUCACUGGACCCAUGCGCAGAGAGGGUCGCAAAACACCCGCACACUGGAUGCACUCAGAGAGCGUCUGGUGCUCAACCCUAGCAGGGUCAAGCACAUCGGACUCUGAGGCCAGCGUCCGGUGCCUCUGCACUCAGCGUCCGGUGAGUGUUUCUCAGCGAAAAACACUCCCACGACUUCUCCAAAUUUCCCACCGGCACAAUAGAAAAUAUACACUUAUUUUUCUCAAAAGCGCCGAAAGUCACACCCCUCUCAACCCUAGGAACUCCACCUCCUUUGUAAAUGUGCUAACACCAACAAGUGUCCACCACCAAAGUCCAUGUGUGUUAGCUUUUCACAAACAUUUUCAUCAAAGGAGUUAGGUUAGCACUUUACUAGAUCCUAAUGCAUAUGCUCAAGAUGUAGACCUAGUAGCACUUGAUUCGAGAGAUGACCGUGAUUUCCCCUCUUGAUAGUCGGCUAUCUAUCCUAAACCCGGUCAAUCACUUCUCUACUCAUCUUAGACCGGCAAAAGUAAAAUCCUAUGUUUAUACCUUUGCCUUGAUAACUUUGCUCCUCGUCUAACACCAUGAUCUUCACUUCAUGCUUCAUCCCUUUGUGAUCAUGUGGCCACCUCUCCAUGCCACCAUGCACCUUCGUCACAUGUAUUGCUAUGCCUAACUCAAAUCACUUAAACACAAAGCAUUAGCAACUUGGUGUCAUUAAUUACCAAAACCAAACUUGGGCUUUCAAUCUCCCCCUUUUUGGUAAUUGAUGACAACCAUCACAAAGAUAUGAAAUGAAAUCAUAAUGAACUUGAAUUGCUUGUCCAAAGCAUUUUAAUCAAGAGACAAGGUUGGACAAGCAUUUCAAUUUUGGUUUUGGUAGUACUAGCUCCCCCUACAUAUGUGCUUCCAUGAGUUUGGUUCAAGUUUGCACAUAUGCAUGAAUUGGAAUUUUGGGAGAUUUAGUACUACCAAAAUGAUGCUAAGGUAUAUAGAAUGGACCUUUGAAGCGUGAUACCAAUCGGAGUUGCCAAUAUACCAUCCUUAGCACCAAUGUAGCUAGACAUUACCUCGUGAAAUCACAUUAUAUGUCUAGAUACCAUAUGAAAAUAAAACUCUAUGCUAGAAUUCAAAGCAUCAUUCAAGUUCUAUUUCUAGCAAGCACCAAUCAAACAAGAGUUGUGAAUUUUAAACUUGCAAUGCAACACCUCAUUAUGUUAAUGCACAUUCAAAUGCAACAAAUGGUUCAUGAGCUUGCUCCCCCUAUUUGUGUGCUCAAGUUUAAAGUUUUCUCUCCCUAUCUUUGUUUCUCUUCCCUCUUUUUGACUUUAUCUUUGUUUCUCUCCCCCUUUGUCAUCAAUGACCACAAAGGUUCAAAUUUUAGUGAGAAUUAAGUCAAGCAAUGUGAGGGUCAAAUUAUGGUUCAAUCUAGAUCACUUGCCUAAAACAUGUAAUUCGGUUUGAUCCAAGGACAAGCUUUUUCACACCUCAUGAAGUAUAAGGGUUAUCUUGACCAUGUUGAAUUACACAUCAUAAGCUUAUAUUCUAGAUUCAACACUAGGCUUGCAAGCUCAUAAAUAUGUCAUAUGCUACCACUAGAUCAAUCAAUCAUAGAAGCAAUAGUGGUACCAUACAUACAUCAAAUCAUUUUGUUUUUCAUGAAUGAGCCUAUUGUCAUGCAAACAUGUCUAUAUGUUCUAAUCAUGUCCUUAGCAAGAUAUGAAUGCCAUGUCAACCAACUUUACUUUGCUUUGUUGGAGGAGAGGCAUGUCAUAUGUAAACGUGGGGGUGCACUCAUCUCAAGUUGGAGAAGUCAAGUAUGUUCAAUUCAUUUCUUAACUUGCAAAAUCUCUUCUCAUCAAGUGGCUUUGUGAAGAUGUCGGCUAGUUGAUCUUCGGUGCCAAUGCUUUCAAUGCUAAUAUCACCCUUUUGUUGAUGGUCUCUUAUGAAAUGGUGCCUUAUGUCAAUGUGCUUGGUUCUUGAAUGUUGAACCGGAUUUUGUGUCAUCUUGAUUGCACUCUCAUUGUCACAUAGCAAAGGCACAUUCUUGAAUUUGAUUCCAAAGUCAUUCAAAGUAGCUUUCAUCCAAAUCAAUUGUGCACAACAACUACCGGCACUAAUAUAUUCGGCCUCGGCGGUUGAUAGUGCAACACUAUUUUGUUUCUUUGAUGACCAUGAAACUAGAGACCUUCCUAGCAAUUGACAAGUGCCACUUGUGCUCAUUCUAUAAAUCUUGCAUCCACCAUAAUCGGAGUCCGAAUAUCCAAUCAACUCAAACUUAGACCCCUUGGGAUACCAUAAUCCAACAUCAUGAGUGCCUUUAAGAUACCUCAAUAUCCUUUUGGUUUCCUUCAAGUGACUCUCCCUUGGUGAAGCUUGAUAUCUUGCACACUUGCACACACUAAACAUCACAUCCGGCCUUGAUGCAGUGACAUAGAGCAAACUUCCAAUCAUGGACCGGUAUAGCUUUUGAUCUACCAUGUUGCCACUUGCAUCACUACGUAAUUGAUCAUUUGUUCCCAUAGGUGUGCUCAUUGGUUUAGCUUCUUGCAACCCAAACUUCUUGAUCAUGUCCUUGAUGUACUUUCCUUGACUUACAAAAGUGUCAUUCUUCAUUUGAUUGAUUUGAAGUCCAAGGAAGUAACUAAGCUCUCCAAUCAUGGACAUCUCAAACUCAUUCGCCAUCAUUCUUCCAAACUCUUCACAAAAGUCUUGAUUGGUUGAUCCAAAGAUGAUAUCAUCAACAUAGAUUUACAACACAAACAAGUCCUUGCCUAGCUUCUUGGUGAAGAGGGUAGUGUCAACCUUUCCCAUCUUGAACCCUUUAGAGAGAAGGAAAUCUCUCAAUCUCUCAUACCAUGCUCUAGGUGCUUGCUUCAAACCAUACAAUGCCUUCUUGAGCUUGUACACAUGGUUGGGUUUCUUGUCAUCUUCAAAACCGGGAGGUUGUUCAACAUAAACCAACUCAUUGAUGUAUCCAUUGAGAAAUGCACUCUUCACAUCCAUUUGAUAGAGCUUGAUGUUGUGGGCACAAGCAUAGGCUAAUAAUAUUCUAAUUGCCUCCAAUCUUGCAACCGGUGCGUAUGUUUCUCCAAAGUCAAGACCUUCAACUUGAGUGUAACCUUGUGCUACUAAUCUUGCUUUGUUUCUCACAACUACACCAUCUUGAUCUUGCUUAUUUCUAAAGACCCACUUGGUACCAAUCACAUUGUAGUUCUUUGGCCUCUCAACAAGCUCCCACACUUGAUUUCUUGUGAAGUUGUUCAAUUCUUCAUGCAUGGCAUUUACCCAAUCGGAAUCCUUCAAUGCAUCUUCUAUCUUCUUUGGUUCCUCAAAUGAGACAAAUGAGUAGUGCUCACAAAAGGAUGCUAGCCUUGAUCUUGUUUGCACACCACUUUGAAUACCUCCAAUGACUUGAUCCAAUGGAUGAUCCCGUGCUAUACUUGUAGGUUGGAGUAUUGGGAGUUGAUUGCUUCCACUAGCUUGAUUUUGAUUUUGAUCAUCAUCUUGAGAGCCACUAGUACUUGCUUGAUUUGUAUCAAUUUGCACUUCUUGAUUGAUCAUGUGAAUGUUACCAUCAUCAUCAACUUGCCUUGGCCUUAUGUCACCUACAUCCAUGUUCUUCAUUGCAUUUGCCAAUUGAUCUCCUCUCACAUCAUCAAGAUUUUGAGCUUCACUUUGAGAUCCCUUGGUUUCAUCAAACUCAACAUCGUGGACUUCUUCUAAUGUGCCACUUGCCAAGUUCCAAACUCUAUAUGCCUUGCUUGUGGUGGAAUAACCAAGUAAGAACCCUUCAUCACAUUUCUUCUCAAAUUUGUUGACAAGCAGGAGGUGAUCCUUCUUCUGCUUCUUUGUCUGGAACUCCAUUGAGGACCCUCCAGCUAUUGGUAAGAUCAUCCCAAUCGUGGGCAGUGGUGUGUGGGGGCCGAUUUGAUUGUCAGGGUGGGGUUCUGGCUUUGAUGGAGGUGGAGCUUGGAUUAACUGGAGUUGGUUUGGGGGAGGAGGUAACGAGUGCUGGUGGGGCUGCGGGGUUUCGAUGUAUGUAAUUUGUGGGGGUCGUGGAGGUGCAUAGGUUGUUUGCAGGUUAUGUUCUGCGGGCUGCUGUGCUGGGCGCCAAGCUGGUAGGAAACUGGGAUAGUAAGCGGAGGCUAGUGCGUUGGGCUGAAUUGGAUCUGGGUGCUGCUGGCCCGAUCCUCCGGCAUAUGAGUGGUAGAAGGUCUGGGGGAAUGUGUGAUUCACCUCCCGAGGUUGAGCGACCGACGACGGAGGUUGUGGAGCUAACCUGCUCUUGAUCCUCUCCUGAGUUUCUUUUGCAUCCGGGCAAUCUCUGGUGGAGUGACCCUUCUCCUCUCCAUGGAAGAAACAAUAUUGCUUCCACGGCCGCUGCUUCUGAUUCUUUUGCCAUCCUGUGUUUCGACCUCCUCCUCCAGCUUGAUUGGGUCCGCGUUCCGAGUUUCGCGGUUCUGCCGGUGGACGGUUAUAUUCCGACUUGUCAUUCCUUGGUUGCUCAAUAUUCAUCAUCUGCCCACCAGCCUCUCGCUGUGGCCGGCGUUCAUCCUGGCUAAGGUUCUUCUGCGAGUUUCUGUCAUUGCCCUGCUUCUUCUAAGAGUUUUGGUCUUCCAACCUCUUGCGGUAGUCGUUGUCCGAUCUGCAAUACUUCUCAAACUCAUGGUACAGCUCGUGCUUGGAUGCUGGCUUUUCUCUGGCCAAGUGAGCUGCAAAGGGCCCUAUGCGAAGGCCUUUGAUGGCUGCCUCAAUGGCGACCUCCUCCGGCACGCCGGGUGCUCUCGCCUUAGUCUACACGAACCUUUGGAAGUAUUCCCUUAGUGCUUCUCCUUGACUCUGGCGACACUAGAAUAGGUACGUGGAGGUUAGUGACUCAACAGCGAAUCCUUGGAAAUUUGCCAAAAUAUUGUCACGAUGGUUCUCCCAUGAAUAGAUCGACCCGGGCCUGAGCAUCGAGUACCAUGCCAAGGCAUCUCCUUCGGCCGCGAUCACAAAGGAUUUCGCCAUUACAGUUUCAUUCCCUCUAGCUGAAGCCACAGCCGCCUCGAAACUCAUCAGAAAUUGGUGGGGGUCUAUCUUUCCGUUGAACUUGGGAGCGUGAUUGGCUUGUAGGUUGGCGGCCAGGGGGAGGUCUGCAAUCCUUCCGAUAGAGGGGAACGAAGGUCCAAUGUGCUCCGCAGCGUGCCACCGUAGCUUGUCGGCUGCACAUUUACCGUCGGACCGGCGCUGGGCAGCACAGUGGGCUGGAUCGUUGGCUGAGGUGGAGGUUGCAUGCUAAGGAUCUCUGCCUGCAAGAUUGAAAGCUGCUGCCUGAUCUCAGUUCCUUGCGCUGCUGCCAGCGCUGCCUCCUGGCUGGUGGCGUAGGCUGCAGCGAUCCGGUCUCGCUCUUGCUGAAGGUUCUACAGCUGCGCUUGCAGCAGUUGAAGCUCUUGCGCGGCUGUGGGUUGUGCCGGCCCCGCGGUGGGAGGAGGUUCCUGGCCGGCCUCUGGCUGCAUGUUUUUCGGCUGCUCGUCCUCAAAGCCUUCCUCCUCUACGGUCGCAUACGCACUCCGCACGGCCCUCCUCGACCUUCCUCUUCUGGAGGACUCCGCCCGAGGUCUUGUGGUGCUUGAUCUCUUUCCUGCCAUCGUAGUUGAUCCUCCGGCCCUACGGUGGGCGCCAAUGUUGGGAAGUAGCGCACCGCACUCCCCAGCAACACGGUGAAACGAGAACCUACUCACCCAGUGCCGUGAGAGGUUGAACGGUAAUGAACAGUGAACUCAACAGUAGGAGAAUACAAUGAAUGCUCUCUCCAUUAAUGACGGUAUCACACCCCUUAUAUAGGGCUCGGAAACCGACCUAAGACAAUUACAGAUAUGCCCCGUGACGGUGGAGGAAUAUUCCAGCAUAUUCUUACAUCACAGUCUACUGACCCUAAGUCACUUGUGUAAUUUCACACCACGAGCUCUCCACGCGCUCCUCGUCUGGGGCUUCAGACUGUCGAACGCUCAUAUCCUCCACCCAGCAGCCGAUCCUUCGACACUUCUCCGUCGGAGGUUCCUUGGCCUGGCCAUGCUGGAGGUUCAUCGGGCUGGCCACUCCGGAGGCUCCUCGGCUCAGAUGCGCCGGAGGUUUAUCUCCUCUGCCGCGUCCUUCGAACAUCCUUCGUCACAGGAAGGCUCGAAGGUUCCCUCCUUCUUCGCCUGCAGAUCUCCGCCGGUGUCCCAGUCCCUGCAUAUGCUCAACAUCACAAGAGGCAUGUCAACGCCAGUCUUUCUUAGGAUCCUCCGCAUGCAUCUGCAAGGAUGUUCCUUGGGUGAAGGAUAGCCUUCGACGCUUCAUACGUCGGAGGUUCCUCGAGUGAAGGAUAUCCUUCGACGCUACCAGGGGGAAGGAUGUGACCAUUCCCCAACAGGAACCAAACAGAUACCCUUAGAGCAUCUCCAAGAGAUUAGUCAAAAACAUUAGCUAAAUUUACCGAUUGAGCUAUUCUUUAAAAUAGAUUUGACAAAAAAAUUAUUAGAGUACUCCAACAGACUCUGUAAAGGAUAGCUAGUGAGAUAGACUAUCCAAAAGUAGAGAGCGAAUAAUGUGAGAUGGAGAGCUACUAAAUUUGAAGAAUCAUUGACAGAGUCUGUUGGAAACGUUUUUACUUCAACAAUAGCUAAAUUUACCUUUAGAAAAUAAUUUAGCGAAUCUCUUGAAGAUGCUCUUAGUGUAUGUCAUAAAGGUUGAGAUGGACCGUCGGAAUGUAGCGGGAAAGAGGAUUCUUGCCCAAUUAUUUAUUUUCUCCCUCUUCCCUCGAGUGAUGAAAGAUGAUCGACUGUACGGCAUGAGUACCCAUAUUGGAGACUCUCACAGAGAUAUAUAUAACGCGGCAAGAUAUGUCUUUUUAAUGAGUUAUAUAUCGCAUUGUUGCGUGUGUCUCUUAGGGUCACAUGUAAUGAACAAUGUCUCCCCCUCUUAAUUAACAUGGCGUCCGUUUUAGAAAGGAUAAAAUUCUAGCAUAGAGCUAAGUCAAACAAUCUAAUAUUUAACUAGUUUUGAAUAAUAAAAUGAUGCUAAAAUUUAUUUAUUAAAUUACAAAAUUUAUCAUCAAAUAUAUUUUUAUAGUAUAUCUACUAGGAGUCAUAUAUGUUCAUACUAUUUUCAACAAAUAUAGAUAAAUUUUAAGUAGUUUAUUUUUGACAAAACCUGGAAUUGUCUUUUUGCUCAGUCCACCUAUCUAUAUAUUCGAGAAAAAAAAAGGAACCCCUCGGAGCUCAUCAUAGAAGAUUCGUGUAGAAAAACAUCUCAUCAAUACGUUAACGUCAUUUAACGGACCAUCCAUUCUUUUUUUCUACAUUUAGCAAAUGGUCAUCGGAAGACUGUGUCGACCCCUCCAAAAGGACAACUGGACAAGAGAGAUAAAUGCAUAUACAAUCUCAUAUCUUAUGAGCGAUAUACAAGCUAGAGAGAUCAAUGAUUGAGCCACGUGUGCGAUCUUAAGUUUGGACAAAUCUAGCUUGUGAAUAAACAUGUACGUAGAGUGCUUGUGUGUCUAGCUGGCUCUCUGAAGUUUCUACCAAGUCUCUAGAACCCGAUUUCUAAUACCCCGAGACGACAUCUACUUGAAAUCUAAAUCUUCCUUGAACAAACUUUGAAUCUAUAUCUUUUAUAAAGAUAAACUCUACUAGCCAAUUAUCUUGUCAUGUAAAAUAUCCAUAUCAGCAUCCACUAAAAUAUUUCACUAGCAUAUUCAACUAUUUUACCAUGCAAAGUGUCUACAUCAACAUCUACUAAUAUAUCUAACAAACACAUGCCAUUAUGUCUUCAUUUAAGCUAUUCACAUUAGAAAAUCACAUAAUUUGCUAACAUAUAUUUAGUUUUCCACAUAAGAAUGCUAAAAAGCAUCCACUAACGUUAACAUGUAUUAUGAUAUUUAUUCAAGCAUAUUAGUAAAUAUAAGUAGUAUAGUUUUACCAGCAAUUCUCGUAGCAACAUACGAAGCAUUCUUCUAGUUUUUAACAUGUAUUGUGAUAUUUAUUCAAUCAUAUUAGUAAAUAUAAGUAGUAUAGUUUUACCACCGAUUCCCGUAGCAACGUAGGAGCAUUCUUCUAGUUUUUUUACUGCAACUGUCAUUUUUUUUGCAUCACUAUCCACACACAGCGGAGACAUGAGCAAGAGCCAAUGCAAGAGGACAGCAGAAGUCCUGGGCUUCUAGAUGAAGACGACGGUGGUUUGUGCAGGUGGUUGAGGUGCGGCGCCACAUGCAUGCAUGGUCGAUCGUCACACUCUCCAGAACGGAACGGGCUUUUGAAAAACGGGGCACCCAUUUCCCGUUGGGGCGGACAGAUUUCCCUUUCCAGCCGAUUCAUUCUAGCUGGCUUUUCUUGGCUUUUAAGUUUCAAUUUACAGCGAUUUUGUGGGUGGUUUUCUAUGCUGAAAUUGCUCCUGUUUUGUUACUCUGCAAGCUUCAAUUCCUAGAAUCCGUACCAGUCAAUUUUUUUUUAAAAAAAUUAACUAACUUUAUAGAAAAAAGCAUCAAUACUUUAACAUAAAAUUAGUAUCUUAUUAAAAUAUAUUCUAUGAUAAAUCUAAUGGUAAUAAUUCGAUACUAUAAAUCUUAGUUUUUUUUCUAAAAAUUCGGUCAAAGUGUAAAAAGUUUGAUUUAAGACAACUCUAGGAAUUGAAGCUUUUAAGGACAGAGAGAGUAUUAAGAAAACAGUUUUGUUGUGUGUGGCACCGACGAAUCUUAUUUUCACGCAGAAUUCGACCGACGUUGAUGGCCACCAUUAAAUUAAAUAAAUACUAUAGAUUACUCAUUUUCACGCGAAGAGUAAUUGAUAUAAGUGAUGUUUUCUUAUGAAUUAUUCCUAAGAUUUCUCGACUCCAUUAUUUUCUCCGAUCCUACGAUUCUAUGGGUUUUAAGUACAUUGGUCGUGGGUCGUGGGUGUAUGUUAUUACUUUUCACAUCAUGAGACCCAUAGUAGAGGCCAACGAGGUCCUAGAUAAGUGGUUAGCAUGUGCAAUGGAAAGACGUGGUUUCGCAUGAAAUACUUGUAUUCUUCUUCAUCUAGAUGAUGAUAUCAUUAUGUGUGACGACGCUGCAUGCGUGUGGUGUGGCUGAGUUUUUUUAGUUGGUCUCUUCCGUGACCCUGACUAACGACUUGUAUGAGAAAUUUGUUCCGGAGUCGUCUUUACCAAACAAUUUUAAAUAAAUAAUUUCACACUGAGCAAUAACAACAGAACUACUCCAUCCGUUCUAAAUUAUGUCUUAACUUUUUUUCAAAAAUUGAAAUAUUUUAAAUUUAACCAAAUUUGUAAACCAACUCAUCUAAAUCAAAUUUUAUAGUUGAAUUAUUAAAGGAUCGCAGCAGCUGCCUUUAUUUAGUCCUACAUCAAAUUUGUCCACCGCUGAACAAUCGUAGAAAAGGACCUCCAUCGGACAGGCACGAGGCAACUGGUCGAUCGUCACUUGUACUCCAAAUGAAACAGGAGGCCAGGUGGAUCGGAUCUCAUGCAUGUUCAAAAAUAGUGUUCGCUGAUUUAUUAGAGUAACUCCAAACUAAAUAAAUUUUAUUGUUUAGUUAUUUUAUAAAAUAAAAAAAAUUAAAAAGAAGUCCACAACAACCUUAUUAUUUUAUAAAAUCAGAUAGCCAAUGUCAAUGGUUGGUUAUAUAUAUAUAUAUAUAGCCACCGAAAUUCAAAGAUAGCAAAAUUUCUAUUUUACAAAACUAAAUAGCACAUCUGUUGGAGCCUACCUUUUAUUAUGUAAAUUCUAAAAUACCCUUCACAACAAAAACCGUCAAGGUUUUGAAGUUGCUCUAAAAUUGAUAAAUAACAAACAAAUUUCGCCAAUAAGCUAAAACGAACACGGCAAGCUGCCUGCCGCCCCCCUCCACGAUCGCACAUAGCUAUGGCCGCGCCAGCUGGGUAACCCUAGCUGUCGGGGGCUGCUAGAGUCCGGCCGUUCAGACCAAAGUCACCGUCCUCCCGUCUAAAAAUUUCUGCUCCCUACUGCAUGGGUGCAAACCCCUACAGAAACAAACUAAAACAACUCAUAACUACUAAACCGAGAAUCUAAAUAAAAUUCCGAUUACAAAAUUAUGUUUCUUAUAAUAAAUGCUUCAAAACAAGAUCUCACAUGAAUAUAUUUAGAUAAAUUUUAAUUACGAACAUUAAUUUUACAAAGAUAGAAUAUUUUUCUUUUAUUAGCCAGAGACAAUGUUCUAGAUUCAGAGAACAAUAUUCUGCCAUUGUAAAAUAAUGUUCUUUUUUUUAUAGAAUAGUAUUCUAGAUUUUAGGGUUAGAAAAUUAAUAUUGUAAUAUACAUAAAAAUAAGAACAUAACAUAAACAAAUAAUAUAAAAUCUAGAGUACAAUACAGGGGAAAUAUAAAAAAACACAUAAUAGAAAAAAAAAUUAAAAGAACAUCAUGUUGGGUUGCCAUGGCCCAUGGACAACAUUGCACAUCCUUUGUUCCGAAAAUUAAUUAGCAUAGGGCACACAUGCACGAACUAAAAAAAAGUCAUACUAACUACUAAACCAAAUAUUCAAAUUUAAUUCCGAUUACAUCAUCAUAUUUCUUGCAAUGAAUCAUUGAAAACAACAUUAGAUAUAUUAUAGAACAUCACAUAUAUAGCACAUGAAUAACACUAACUACAUUCUAGAACAUUACAUAUAUACUAAGUGGACAUCCCCAGAUAUUAUAGAACUUUGCAUAUAUAGUACGUGAACAACAGUAAAUACAUCGUAGAACAUCACAUGUAUAAUAAGUGAACAUCUCAAGAUAUAAUAAAUGAUGACCGAGAGUUAAUCUACCCUAAUAAUGCACCGAGUUUUUUUUUUCUACCUCCACACCAAAAAAGGUCCCCCGCUGAGGAGCCCUCUCUUUAUCCCAAAAAUACAACAUCUUCAAAAUGGACUGUCUAGAUUUAAUCUGAGCAUUCUCUCUCCUUACUCACUCAAAUCCAAGGGCCAAGAUUGCUUGUAUGAACCUCCUCAGCCUCUCCCACGGUCCCACCCGCCCCCACAAAAAACUCAAAGACACCUGCCGCCGCCGCUAAUCACGUGCUCGACCGCUCCAUCCAUCGCGCCUGACGCUGCUAAUCUCGAGGCUCGCCUUUGCCGCGGCAGCGAGCAAGCUUGGUGACGGUGGCCACCGUGCUCCCGCACAGCAGUCUCCUCCUCGUCACUGCCGCGGCGGCCAGCGUGCGAUCUGCCGUGGCGCUGUCUUCGUCGUGAUCUUGGAGGACGAAGGGCUCCUGCUGCUCACGGUACGCAAAAAUCUGCUAAUCACACCAUCGCCGAGCGAGACCAUUGCAGGUCAGGGAUCCACACGUUCGGUGGCCGGUGGAGUCUCAGGCAUCCACACGUUCGGCGGCCGGUGCGGCAGUGCAGAUCAGGUGCAUGCAGACCUCCACCUUUCUACCAUUGUCGCACAUUGUCGGUGCUGCUUGCUGCCCCUGUUCAUCUAUUGCAGUGCUUAGGCGUCUCUUCUUCAGAGUCAUUGCGUUUUGAUUCUACAAAUUUCAAACCAAAACGUUGGAGCCAUGUCUUGUCAAUUGGUGUUAAAAGGGGCAACUCAACGAUGUAACAAACAUAUAUACUCUAGUUACGUACAUAUACACAUAUUGCAAUGAGAUAUAUACAAUGCCAUAAAUAAGAAACAUGUAUGUCCACAGCUUGCAACGAAGAACAACUCAAGAGAGAGGAGAUGAAUAGUAAACAACGUGAGUACCGUGCUAGAAAAAGGGCUCAAGAAACGGACGAGGAACAGGAGGAGAUGAAUACGAGGCAACAUGAAUACUGUGCUCGCUGAAAGGCUGAAACAAGUGUACUUUCAUAUGCACCGGAUCAAUCAGGUGCAUGAUCUUCACUAUUCUUGCGUGGUAUAAGAAUAUGAUAUUUAUUUUUGUUCAUGGGUCCUUGCACUAUUUACUUCAACCGCGCUGAAAUAUCAACAGACUAUGACCGUUGGAGGAACGUAUUCAACUUAUAGGACACCUUCAUCAGCCAUAUAUAACUAUACUAAAUAUUAUUUUGAAUCAUUUCAAUCCCGCUAUGAAAUUGGCAAAUCCUAUAUGGAACGACAAAAUCUUUGUCUGGCGUCGUGAAUUCAAAAAAAAUCAUCCAAGAAGCUUAUUUUGAUUUUUUUAUCUUUCUUAUCAAAUAGUCAUUUGAUUUUAUCUAUAACAAGCAAACACUUUCUCUCUUCUUCUAUAGGAAAAUAGGAGACUUUCUUGUAUAUAAUUUCAUAAAGUCAUGGAAUGGUGAAAGACUGACGUUUAUCGACAUUGUAAGCUUAUAUAAUUUUCUAUGUAUAUCUUGUAGCCUAUGUAGAAAUUUAAUAAGUUAAUUUAUUUUAUAUCAUUCACAGAGGUCACAUUCACUGAGAACGGAAUUUACAGUGAAUAUUUUAAAGAGCAGCACAAAUAAAUAUACAGAUAAUAUCCUGGUGAACUCCAAAUUCCACUUCAAUAGAUAAAUUAGUUGAAAUAUAAGAGAUAUGAUUUUAUUGUGCCUUGUUAUACAUUAGCAUUCUCUAAAAUUGAAUGUGACUUAAACUAUCGAAAAAAUGGUUUUUGGUUCUUUUUAAGUUUUAGAAUAAAACCGUGGCGUGCCACGGGUAGUAUACCUGUUACCUGCAAAUUAAUUUAAAACCAAUUGAUCGAGCGGCAAGUUCUCGUUCGCCGUCCGUGUGAACGUGAUCACUUUCGAAAGAACCCGUUGCGUGUGAAUACGUUAGCAAUAACAGCUAGCACCAUGCACGUCGCUGGUUGUGUUGUUGAUGAAAAGCACGUAGGUUUAUUAUUUGUCGCGCGAAAUGCAUGGUCUGGCUAUUAAUUAAUUCCUGCAUCAUGAGAUAUAGAGAUUUGCAUGGUCCGAUGAGCGUGCUGCGGCGGAUUCAAAUCAAUGCACACGUUUCCAUCACGAGCCUGACCUAACUAGCUCAAUUGUGAUGUAGAUUAAGGCGUACAAUCAGGGUCCAAGAUCUUGUACGAAUUCCUUGAUAAACGCACGUGCACGUACGUUUUCCUGUAUACGGGCAAUAGUAUUGUACUUUCUUCGUAUAGGAUUUAGAUGUGACAAAGUUUAGGUCAAAUAUUGAGAAUAUAAAUCAUCAAUAACUCUUAAAUUGUUGAGUUUACAAAUUAAUAUGAAAACUAUAUGAAUAGAUUUGUUUUGAAAAUACUUUCACAAAAGUAUACAUAUAUCAUUUUUCCUAAAUAUUUUUGUAGAAAUAAGAUAUUAAAAUUAUGUUUUAGAGACCGUAUUACUGUCCUAAACGAUAUCUAAAUCAUAUAUAUACGAAGGGAGUACAUGCAUACUACUUGAGCAUUCUUCCAAACACAGUAGAGAGUAGAGACAGAGACUUGGACACAUACCGACAUACCGUGAUGUAGGCAGUCUAGGGUUGUACACGUGUACCGGUGUGCUUGUAUUGUAUAAGGACAGAAUGCAGCUGUACUUGAAGAGCCUAUAAAAAAAAUAAGUCUUAAACUCUACUACUAGGCACAUGCACAUGCGGAGUACACCCGGCGGCAUGCACAUUUUCUCUCUUCUUCCUCGCCUCCUCGACCCUCACCUAUGACCACCUAUCUCUCUACGUUAUCUUCAAUUCUUCUUCUUCCUCACACUCCUCGGUCAUCACCCUCAACUUGUCGACCACAACAACACCUAACGUGAGCUAGAUCUAGCAUGAGCAUGCACCUCCUGCCUCUCCACCGCCUCACAAGCUCCAAUUAAACAAGAAAAAUGUUUAACCUAUAAAGUAAUCAAAAUCUAUAAAUUUGCUUCUGAUCAUUUCUCCAUCUGAAGUCAUUUGAAUAUGAAUUUCAAAAUCAUUAAUCUUAAAAUAUAAUUUCAAAUGCAACUAUAAAGUAGUAGAUCUUUUCAAUUUCUACAGCUUUAAUUCAAAUCAUUUCUUUAUCUGGGGUCAUUUGAAAAAUUUAGAAAAAAAAUUAAAUUAUUUGUAGUGGUGGUUUAGAAAAAUACCAGUGUAAGUGCAUCUUUACUAGGAGUAGGUUUGGCUUCAUAGUCAUGGGCCCACAGUUUUAUUUCUAGUGCCAACAAAUAUCGAUAUGUACUAGUGGUUUUAAUUUCAAAUAUUCUACGAGAUUAUAUUUAAUACUCAUAUUAUUGAUAAGGUUUUUAUACAUGAAAUUUACUCUGAACUCGCCAUUGUUUUUAAGGAGGCAAAAGAACAUAUAUCAUCCAACAAACAUAUAUCAUCCAGCGUGUAAGUUAAUAUAUCAUCAAACGCAUAAUAAGUUAAUGUUCAAGACUCUUGUUACCAUACUAAGUCAUUCCACUCAACUAGCUUAAUUUCACUAAAGCCCUUCUAAAGAAGAGGAUGUUUGAUACUGCAUCUUCAUCAGGUUUCUUAAAGAUCACUCGGGAUUGCUCGCACAGGGAGAAAUUGAGGCAUCGGUGGCUUCUCCGAAGAACGAUACACGUUGUCGCACCUUUUCCAAAAAGACCCUUCUACUUUUAGAUAAUCAAUCCGUCAUCCAACAUGUCGUCUACAAACAGAGAUCCCGUCUGAGAUUUCUAUGUAUGGAACCCUAAUCUAAAUUUUAUUUGGACACGAAGAAGGAAAAGUUCAAUAGCCUCGCUGUUUUACAAAAAAAAACCCAUGAAAGCACUGCGGAGCGGACAGCCCAUGGCCAGCCCUACCGCAUCCUUCACUCCUUCGUCCCCAUCUGUUUCUCGAUCUCCCUCCUCUCUCCCUCCUUACCGCCGCUGCAGCCGCGCGCCUCCAUGCCCUCUCCUCCGUGCACCACCUCCAUGCCUCUCCCCUUUUUGCUUUGUCCUCGGUAUUAGCAGACCUUCUUCGCACGACGACUCGAUGAGGAGAGGGGAGAAAUCGAAGAGGAGGAGCCAUCCACGGAUACCACUCCCGAGGAACUCGCGCAUUCUUUGGAUCUAGGCGCCCACCGGAUAAAUCCAGCCUAUAUGACCAUUGUCCGCUGGUCUCCAGAAGGUACUCCCUAACACGAUGCUCGUGAUGCGCAGGCGGCGAGCUCCUGCAAGUAAGUGGGUAUGAGAUCGAGCUCCUUGAUUCGCCUUGUUCUAGAUUUCUGUUUUAUGUGUACGCUGGGAUCUGUGGCAGCUAGAUAUAAUUAGCGAUUUCCAUAUAUGAUGACAUAAUAUUUUGCAAUUUAUUUCACGCUGCUUCCUCUUUGGUUUGUUGUUGUUCUGGAUGGGGUCUCGUGCGUGCUCUUGAAUGGCACCUUGCAGAUUCAUCGUCGGGCGCCGGUGACAAACCUACGGAUGACGGGCAAGAAGACGUGCGACCGUACCAGUGAUUUUCAAGGUGCAACGGGCUUCAGCUUUCCUGUCCCCUAGCUGCUCCCACAAGCUGGUUGCUGUUGUGGUGCUUAGUUCCUUCUUCCUGAAAUAUGAAUUGCUUCUACGUGUUGGGGAGAUAAUAUGAACUGCAAAAUUAGUUUCAGAUUUAGUGAAUUUGUGCACCUAUGGAUGGCUAACUGCUUUAUUUAAAUUUUAGUAUAAUCAGACGAUGUGACUGAGUUGCUACUUGUAUCCAAAUUGCUUGCAAAUAUACUGUCAAUUAUCUUCUUUAGGUUGGGGUACUUGCUGAUCUGGAAAAGGCAUUAUGAUGGAUCAUAUGUUUGCAAUCCCUGUGAUAAUGGUGUUUAUUGAAGUUCUCUUUAUUUCAGAACUAGAUAGGUGGCGAUUUAAACUUCUCUGCUAUGUACUGUGCUGCAAGAGUGUGUGGCUUGGUGUAUUGUGCCUUCCCAAUGAGAGAUGGUGCUCUCUGAUGGUCAUCUUAAGACACUUUUCCAUGUAAAAAUGCUGACAAGUCAUGACCCUAGAAGUAUGGAAAUAGAACAUCGCUUUGUCUCAAAAACCAACAGACAUUGGAAAGUCCAUUUGUCAAGGCACUCAAUAUGAAGAAAAGCAUUACCAAGAACUGAAG